Molecule: long non-coding RNA, 57393 nt
Filed under: Panax ginseng (ginseng)
Lineage: Eukaryota; Viridiplantae; Streptophyta; Magnoliopsida; Apiales; Araliaceae
Source: RNAcentral
UAAUAAUAAAGUUGUAGUUAUUUCUGUACCAUGUAUUUGGCGACUCAGAAUGGGUUGGAUGGAAUGGACCUAUUUUGGGGGCGUCACAAUUAAAAUAUAAUAAGAAGAUGAUAUAUUAUUGUGCGAUAAUUAAAUUUUACACAGAAAAACAAAUGAAUAUACAUUAUAGGGGGUAGUGGUGAGAGUUUAACGGUUUGUGUAUUACACUCUAAGUAUGUGACUAUUGCUUUUAAGCUAGUGGUAAAUUAAGUGACCUCAACUUGAUGUGGCGAAAAAAUGAGACCUUUGAAGGAACCAAAAGUAAUGCCCCCACAACCAUUUCAUUUUGCACACUUGUGAAUGUUUCUGUAUUGCUCUCCUGGCACCUUUUUAUUUGUUCUUCAUAAUAAACUAUUUAAUUUUUAAAAGCUAUUUCAUAUUAGUGACAAAAGUCACAAAACUUUGUAGCAAAAUCAAAUACGUAGCCCCAAUCACAUCUUUAUCAAUCUAACACCACACUGCGCCACUCCCUUAAAAACUAUUACCGGAAGCACAACCUGAAUACAAUCUUUAAACAUUACUUGGUAUGAAAUAUUCAAUAGGGAUUGUGUGCAAUUAGGGAUCCAAAAUGAGUGACCUAAAAGUAGAAUUCAAGAAAAAACAACCCCCUAAUAACUUAUACACCAAGCUCUUAAGAGCAAAAGUAGUCGUUGAUUAGACUAUAAAAAUCAUGGAAGUUGGUUUAUAUACUUUGUGGUUUUAAUGAUGACAAUAUUUAUAUGGGCUUAAUUGAUUUUAUAUUGACUUAUAAUUGGGUCAUGUUAUUCAAAUAUGUUUAUGUAUAUUAAUUAUAUAAUAUAUAAUAGUUUGCAUGGGUUAUUGCAUGGAUUAAUCACAUUGGGUUAUGCAUAUUAAUUAUAUAAUAUAUAAUAGUUUGCAUGGGUUAUUGCAUGGAUUAAUCACAUUGGGUCAUGCAUAUUAAUUAUAUAAUAUAUAAUAGUUUGCAUGGGUUAUUGCAUGGAUUAAUCACAUUGGGUCAUGCAUAUUAAUUAUAUAAUAUAUAAUAGUUUGCAUGGGUUAUUGCAUGGAUUAAUCACUUUGUUUCCUAGCUCACGAAAGUUACUGCAGUAUUGGAGUGAGUAAAUCAAGUUGGUUAUUUUUGUCACAUGCUUUAAGUUUUUAUAUAGAAUAUAUAUCCAAUCCUGAUUUGCUUUGAAGACUAAUUCAAAUUGGAGUAUUUUAAGGAGAUUGAAAAUCUGUUUAAUAUUCCUUAAAUUUCUCAUUUUUAAUUGAGGGAUUAUAUCCUUCCAAUAUAUAUAUAUAUAUGUUAUAUAUAUUGAGCUACCAAUUUAUACGUAAUUGAGAGAUCUUUUAGGAAUUGGUUUUAUUAAGGAUUCUUAUUUAAAGUUGAUGGAGCUAUUAUUUUGUCACAUACUAAAACAGUAAUUGCUAUUUUUAAGGGAUCUUGUUAAUUGCUAAUAGGAUUCUUUUAACUAGUAUUUGAUUCCUAAUUGACUUCUUCAUUGUAGACACUCGAAAUUUUCUUCUCCUGUUACUAACCAUGCAGGAGGACAAAAACGUCUUUUUCACUCUCCAGAGAUAACCCUGGAGGACCACAGAAUCAAUUCCAACCCCGAAGAUAGCCACAAGAGAUCCAGUUUUUCAACCCCGAAGAUAACCCUGGGAAAUUAGGUUCUAAACCUCGGAGAUAACCUAGGAAAGGUCAGUUUCAACCUCGGAGAUAGCCCCGGGGGAUCAAGAUCAAAGCCUGGAGAUAGCACUAGGAGGUCAAGCCAACCUCAGAGAUGACCCUGAGGAUAGUCAAAGUCAACAGCAAGCCAACCUCAGAGAUAACCUUGAGAAAAGACUGCUACAACUGUGCGAAAACUAGAGAUAACCCCGGGAGGGGCAAAAUGGUCAUUUUGCCAACUCAACUACACUUCAAAUCAAAUACACUCAUGUCAACUCAAAAUGCUUCAAAGGAAGUCCCACAAGAACCAUAUCUUAACUUCCGAGCGCAAACUACGCAAAACGGCUCAACGGACUGCCUGACAGAAACUCGGGAAUACCAUUUUGGUCAUGGACCCAUCUUCCUGGAAUCAAAAAAGGUCAAAUCAUAUAUCAUUGUGUAGCUCUCGUAAAGAGCUUUCUAGAAUGAUAUGGCACGCUUCCAUCGGACUCCCGGAUUGAAAGUUAUACGCGACCGAACGAACAGCGCGUACGUACUUCGACACGGCGGGACCCACACUGCCUGGGGCACCCCGGGAAGCCUCUGGUACACCUGCGGCUCCAACCUCUAUAAAUAGAGGGCUUGGGGUGGCCAUUUUGCAAGAGAAAAAGACGGGGAAACCCUGCACAAUUCGCUCUGCACUCGCCCAUACAGUGUAUUUUUUCACUUUUAAACACCUGUGAGCUCAUAUAUAGCCUCUUUUGUACACACAAAAGCCAGUGUUUACCCACUCUAAAGAUAUAGAAGCCUUUUUUAGCAGUCAAUUGUAAGCCUUCUCACACACUUUAGAGUCUUUCUCUUCAUCUUUGCACACACCCUUCUACACGUUGAGAGUCGUGUUGCUUGGUUUUGCCCGGACUUCGGUUCGUGGUUUCAUUCCAGUCUGUAUAUAUGUAUAUUUAUAUAUAUAUUGACUACCAUUAUCGAGUUAUGCCUCGAUUGAGCCUAGACUUCGGUCUGGAACGUUUAUUCGCUUAUAUAUAUAUAUAUUAUAUUAAUUGUGUGUCGAACUCUGUUCGAUGAGCCUGAAUUUUAUAUCCGGUGCGUUUACUCGCUUUUAUGUAUAUAUAUACUUAUAUAUAUAAACUGUGGUCGAACUUUGUUCGAUGAGUCUGGAUUUUAUAUCCGGUGCGUUUACUCGCUUAUAUAUAUAUAAACUGUGGUCGAAUUCUGUUCGAUGAGCCUGGAUUCCACAUCCGGUGCGUUUAUUGCUUUUAAUAUAUAUAUAUAUAUACAUAUUUUAGUCCUGCCUGGAGUUUUCUUCGUGACAGGUGAUCGCUUUACAGCUUUAUUUACGUUUUGUCCCGCCUGGAGUUUCCUCCGUGGUGGUUGAUAGCUUUUAACAGCUUUAUUUAUAUUUCUGAUCCCCCAUGGAGGUGCUUCGUGGUUGGUGAUCAUGUCUGUAUAUAUGUAUUUACAGCUUUUAUAUAUAUACCUUCUUACUGCUUUCAUACAAAUUGCAGCAUUCUGUGCGCCUAGGAAUCAUGUGAUCACAGAUUCAUCCCAUUGGAUCUAGAUUUAAUUCCCGUGAUGGACAUUUUUCAGCUAUAAGCAGCUUGUAAAUUAUUCUGGGUUGUCUGAAUUUCCUUAGAUGGUUUCCAUACCCACAAGGAAGUUGGCAUUAUUUUUGUGUAUUAUUUUCGUACGGAUGCCUCACAUCCGUCAAAUAAAAAUCAAUCAAGCCGAUCACUUAAUAAAAAUGAGAGUGUAAAAGGUCUCAAUUCCUAUUGAGCAUCAGGGUUUGAAAAACCUCUUUUAUAAAACAACAUUGCUAUAUCUUGCUAAAAACUGAAUUUUUACAUAAAUUCAAACUCUGUGUAUAUAGGUUCGAACGAGGCCUCGCAAAACUUCCAUAUAACAGCACAUUGACCCACACACACACACAUUCAGAUAACAGUUUAUUGAAAAAAGGCGGUCACCGUGGUAACACGGAUGUCGGGGGGUGCCUAACACCUUCCCCCCGCAUAACCAAGUCCCCGGAUCCUAAUGAAUCUCGAUUUCACCGACCCGUAUAGCAGUGUCACAUCACUGGGUCAAUGUGCAAACCUUUUCUCGGUUGUGUUGGUACAACCAUUUAAAAAACCAACUGGAGAUUCUUAACAGUCCAUCAUCGACAUUAUACAUGUCAGAACUUUUUCACUUGUUUUUUUAAAUAAAUCUCACCUAAACUGAGAACACCAAAGAACAAGUAACGGAAAGGGACAUCCAAAAAUCCCGACGUCGACAGGUGGCGACUCUGCUGGGGACUCCAGUAAGAGGACUUAAGCCGCUAUUACAAUCUUUUCAAAACUGUUAUCUUCUUGUGUUUGGAUGUUGCAUUUACAUUUGAUAAAUGUGUACGAAUGCAUUUCCUUAUUGUACUUAGUGCUUCGCACCAUAACUGCUUGUGAUAUUAGUGCUUCACAUAUGUCAUCAUUUUCAUACGGUGAGACGCGAUGUAUGUGAAUGUAUGUUGUGUGGUCCCUCCACCAGGAGGCUAUCCCGUCGGUGUUUGAUUACUGGACUCGUGAGAAGACUAAUUCUCCGAGGCUCAGGAAAGGCACCACCCAAAUUCACUCCAGUUGAAAGACCGGAUUAACUUCCCGUCUAGUAGAUUGCGAUGAUUUGGGAACCUUCAUGCCAAAAAGCCGCGAGAGUAACCUAAGAUAGGUCAGCCUCUGAUAAACCCAAAACGGAGGAAAGUCUCUUCAUGCUCUCUCAUUUCAAUUACUUGUAAACACAAUUACUUGUAAUUUCAUUCCAUAUCUAUCUCCAUUUAAUGAGAAAUAUGAAGAAAUGUGUACACAUACAAAUUGACAUGCUACAAACAGCUGACAUCCGUUUUGCAGGAUAAAAUUCCUAAACUGGACACAUCACAUAGCAUGUUAUUAUACAUUCCCUAAAGACUAAACUAUGCAAGUCUUUCGCAGGGAACCAAUCGGACCUACUACCCGGUCAAAAUCCAAAAAGGCUGCAAGCCUACAGUCAAUCAUGUCGCCAUCUGACCAAACUGACCUUAAUCCAGUUUCUCUCAAAGAAUUCGACGGAUUAAGCAAACAAAUUACAGAUUUGGCUGAUCUGCUCAAAGAACUACACCAGUCUACUCAGGGUAAAAAUACCCGUACAUGCUGAAUCCUCCGCAUAAGGAGGAACCCAAGGUCCAGAUACUGCUAGUUCCAGUCGCAGGAAUCCUGAUAAGCACAGACAGAUUCCUUCAGCGACACAGCGAUUGUCUCCACCUACAACUCCUGAGUCCGCACAACCUCCUGUAAAGGUGCCAGCCAGCGUAAUGGCUAUGUUAUUUCCCAAGCCGAUGCUGAUAAAAGAGAAAGAAGUCUUUGUUCCAGACCCCAGAGUGGAAGAAGAGGAACGAAGAAUUAAAUAAGACAUCAUCCGAAUGAUGUCAGGCGUACACAUCAUUGUCCAUGAUGAACAUACAAACAGAUACACCCCAGACGAUGAUUGCCCAGACGUAAUGGUAAUCAUUCGGGAGAAGGAGGAUGAUGAAAACCCCUCCAUCACCGCAGUCCAUCAGGACUUUGCCCUUGACAAUUGGAGCAGCACUCCUUGCAUUGGUCGACGAGGGUAAAGCGGGCAGAAACUCAUUCUGCCCUGUAGAUAACAAUAACUGCUUACUUUUUCUGUACAGUAUUAGCAGUUACUUUUGUCAUUACAUGCUAACACUUUGUGUGAUUGAACAGUUUCAUAUAUCAGGUGAGAGCAUGUUGGUUCAGGACUCUAAAAUUAGAUGUGCCUAGACUUGCUGAUGAGGUGCUUAUUCUCCAAGAGGACUGUAACUUUGAUGCCAAGUUGGACUCAGACUUGAUGGAAAUACAAGAGGACUAUGAGAUACCUCAGGAGAUCAAAGAAUGGGUCGAAGACAAACCCAAACGAAAUCUUGAUCAAACCACCUCUUUUAAACCUCGGAACCUUAGAAAACCCCAAACAAAUCCAAAUUGGUACAGACUUCACUCCAAACUAAAGGAAUUACAUGGUUACUCUAUUGACACUAUUCCAGGAUGUGUUUGCAUGGUCUCACGAAGACAUGGUCAGUUUAUACAUGAACAUUACCAUUCAUCGCCUUCCCAUCAAAGGGGGAUUCAAACCACUCAAGCAGAAGCUCAAGCGAUUAAAACCUGAGUGGAAGUUAAAAGUUAAAGAAGAAAUUGUGAAACAAUUUCAAGCCAACAUCAUCAUGGUGUCAACAUAACCUGAAUGGAUAUCCAACAUAGUCCCCGUGCCGAAACCGGGAAGGGAGGUACGAGUUUGUGUGGAUUACAGAGAUUUGAAUAAAGCUUGCCUCAAAGAUAGCUUUCACGUGCUGUUCAUCCACAUACUCAUUGACAAUACAGCUCGAUACGACAUGUACUCCUUUGUUGAUUGCUCCGCGGGGUACCAUCAAAUCAUGGUUGCUGAGAAAGAUCGUGAGAAAAUUAUUUUCAUCACUCCUUGGGGAAUCUUUUGCUAGCAGACGAUUGUCCUUUGGCCUCAUCAAUGCCGGAGCUACCUAUCAAUGAGCCAUAUGGCUCUUUUCCACGAUCUAAUGCAUAAAAAAAAGAAAAAAAAAAGAAAAAGAAAAAAAAGAAGAAAAAGAAAAAGAAAAAAAAAGCUCUUCAACAGGUUCAACAGUUGCUGCCUUAACAUAGACAGGUUCUACAAAUGGCUUCGGAGUUCGAAGAAAAAUCCUUCCUCCACAUUCCUCAAAAUAAGAAUGAUUUUGCGGAUGUGCUAGCAACCUUGGCCUCCUUGAUCAACAUACAUGACAAGGAAGACAUGCCAACCCUCACAUUUGCGCAACAAAAAGCUCCAGCCUAUGGGAAUUCCAUUGAAAAGUAUUGGAUGACCUACCUCCCACCCAACAUCCUUGGUAUCAAGAAGUACUUACGAGAUGGAUCUACACCCGCUGAGGCGAGCCCGACUGAGAAAAGGUGGAUCCAUCAACUUGUUAUAAAAUUCUACCUGAACGGAGAUGCACUAUACGAAAAGAGAUGCAGAACGAGGUCUCCUCAGAUGUUUGGACGAGGACCAAGCUCAGAGGCUCAUGGAUAAAAUCCAUGGGGGAGUAUGUGGCCCACAUAUGAGCGUCCCUCUACUUGUAAAGAAGAUCCUACAACAAAAAAGUCCGACUACGGCAGUUUAAACAACACGACUUGGUUUUGAAAAAGAUCAUUGAUAACCAAGCUCAGUCUAAAGGAAAAUUCUCCCCGAACUGGGAAGGCCCGUUUGUUGUCAAGGAAGUAUUGACAGGAGGCGUUUUCAGAUUAUAGGAAAUGGACGGCGAUGAAUUUCCACAGCUUAUCAUGUCGGACACCGUGAAACGGUACUAUGUCUGAGGUUACCAUCAAGCGAACAUCCUGGUUUUGGAUCAUCAGAUUACCAGUCAUUCCGGUUCUUUAACCCUUUACCACAUACAACUCUUCCACACUUUGCCCCUCAGGGAAACAUCCUUUCAAGCCAGCAGCCUGUCUUCACUACGAUCAUACCACUUAGGUCAUCUCACCGCGAAUUGAACCUCUUACGUUUGCAGUUUGGCUGCCCAUACAUGGGAUCAAACUUUUCACACUUUCAGUUUAUCCUCAACCUAGGAUCAAAUUUUUUCUUCCCCGCAGUCUGACCUGCUCAUGGGAUCACAUUUUUCAACUCGCCUUGAAGGGCGAACUACGUCGACCUGAUCUCCCUAAUACACGGGAGUACGUAGGCAGCCAUGUUAUAUGGUCCGGUCUCACCACAGAAAAAACAAACUCACUCCUAUCCAUAGCCACAUACAGAAACAAGUCCCAAGACAUCAAAGAUGGUAGGGAAUACACACAGAUCGACGAUCCAUUCUGAAAAUCCUGAGACAUCUCACUGUCCAUCCAUCAAGGAGGAGUUCAGAAUACAUCCAGAUCACAAAGUCCUGGAGAAACAAGCGAAUAUCAAGCAAGUAGCAAGGCACAACUAAAAGGGAAGUGAAUCAACAUAUAUUUCCCUGCCAUAUAUAAUGUUGUUUGAUAUAUACAAUGUGUACUGUACAUGACAAAAUGGCUAAGCUAGUCUAUGCAGGAAAAUACAAGCCCAUCUACAAAUCAGUGUAUACGCGGGCUAUCAAGUCCAACAUGGAUUCCCUCUCAGAAGAAGGAGGUAACGCUGUGAUUUCCUGCCAAAGGGUCUCUACACGAUCCAACAAAUCCACCGCCAACUACAUGCAAUAUUUCGGGCAGAUAUAGCGUUGUCCCACUCAACAAUCACUACAUCUAUGGAUGAUCUGGCCUCAUCCCGCUCAACAACAGCGGUAUCCCUAUGAGUUAGAGCAUCAUCUCUCUCAACUAAAGCAACAUCUCUACCAUAAAGAGCUAUCAACAUUAAAGCCCACAUUCACUACCUGUUCACCAUAUGGUACAGAGGUAAAAGCUUCUCGCGAUCUCGACAUCUUAUCAGCCCAUCUAUCAAAGCAACUACCCCAGACAACAAGCAAGGCUGGGUCAAUUUCAAAAUUGGCGACAACCGGAUAUUGGAUCCCUUACGACAAGAUUGGGGGCAAUCUCGAAAGCAGCGACAACUCAACACUGGGGCAUUUAUCAACCAUCCUAAAGUGGAAAGUGCACCAGUCAGCGCCAUCAGCUUGGUCCAUCGUUAUCUCAAUGGUGAUUCAGAUAUUAUUCACUCGCGAUUUGGUCAACAAAGAGAGUUUCUCAUAUGAAUCCCCAGUAACAACAUGUGAAAGGACUGGGGCAUUUUUCCGAUUCCAAGAUUGAACGAAAUCAUGGCGACAUUAACUUGCCCCUACGAAAGAAGGGAAAAUUCUCAAGAAAGGUCUUAACUCAGGAGCAGAAGGCCAACGACGAAAUGUCUAGCGAAGGAAAUCUACACCAUCAACAAGCUUUAAGUCCUCACGAGUUGAGGCCUCUACACCGAAGUUCCAAUCUGGGCAGCGAAAGAACGAGUUACAACCCCCAGGGAUGUCAGCGGAAUUCAAGUCAUCAGUUCACCCGGAUGGCAAAUCAAGCGCUCAAGGAAAUGCGGCAUAAGCACCCAGCAGCGAAAGGAAACUCCAAAUCACCUCAAAAAGGAUGAGACAUCUAGUGGUUGUCAUCAAUCUAACGUAACAUCAGGCGAAGUCUAGUGAAGUAAUCCGUGGAAUAUUACUUCAGCAAAGGUAUCGUAAGAUCUGGUAUUCUAAACCAUUGCUAUCAAUACAACGCGACAUCAACACAGUUCAGCGAUGAAAGCUUCGUAUACCACCGAUCGAGUGGGAACCGGAAAAUUUUGGCGAUCAGCAGGAUAGUCACCGUUGCAACUACCAGCGAAUACAUCAGGAGGGUCUGGUGAUUUCAGAACGUCAUCCCCAUCAGAGAUGUGGAAAACAUCCCAACUUAUCUUCAUCAAAUAAGUCAGCGAUUAAAUGCCAAACCAUUGGAGUCAACACCAGCAUAUGCAUCAGUAAUGAUCGAUAAAGGUAAAGAGAUUUGCGAAUACAUUUUAACAUUCAUCAUAACAUUCAUUACAUUGCGAUUUGUGAUCUUGCGAUUUGCGAUUGUGCAAUUUAUGAUUUGCGAUAUGCGAAAUGCGAUGUGCGAUUUGCGAUGUACGAAUUGCGAUGUGUGAUUUGGCCAAAAGCGAAAAGCAAAGUGCGAAAUGCGAUGUGCGAUUUACGAACUGCGAUUUGCGAAAACAUUGUCAAAUUCAUCAUAAACAUUCACUACAUUGCGAUUUGUAUCAUUAAAAAUACCUUGUCAUGUUUCAAGUGUCUACUAAUCUUCAUCAUGUCCAUUCCAUUGCAUUGCAUGAACAUGAUAAAGAGGGGCAUCUGUAGACACUCAAAAUUUUCUUCUCCUGUUACUAACCAUGUAGGAGGACAAAAGCGCCUUUUUCACUCUCCAGAGAUAACCCUAGAGGACCACAACAUCAAUUUCAACCCCGAAGAUAGCCACAAGAGAUCCAGUUUUUCAACCCCGAAGAUAACCCCGGGAAAUCAGGUUCUAAACCUCGGAGAUAACCCAAGGAAAGUCAGUUUCAACCUCGGAGAUAUCCCCGGGGGAUCAAGAUCAAAGCCUCGAGAUAGCCCCAGGAGGUCAAGCCAACCUCAGAGAUGACCCUGAGGAUAGUCAAAGUCAACAGCAAGCCAACCUCAGAGAUAACCUUGAGAAAAGACUGCUACAACUGCGCGAAAACCGGAGAUAACCCCAGGAGGGGUAAAAUGGUCAUUUUGCCAACUUAACUUCACUUCAAAUCAAAUACACUCAUGUCAACUCAAAAUUCUUCAAAGGAAGUCCCAUAAGAACCAUAUCUUAACUUCCGAACGUAAACUACGUAAAACGGCUCAACGGACUGCCUGACGGAAACUCGGGAAUGCCAUUUUGGUCAUGGACCCAUCUUCCUAGAAUCAAAAAAGGUCAAAUUAUAUAUCAUUGUGUAGCUCUCGGAAAGAGCUUUUCGGAAUAAUAUGGCACGCUUCCAUCGGACUCCCGGAUUGAAAGUUAUAAGCGACCGAGCGAACAGUGCGUAUGUACUUCGACACGGUGGGACCCACACUGCCCGGGGCACCCCGGGCAGCCUCUGGUACACCUGCGGCCCAGCAGCAGGUACACCUGCGGCUCCAACCUCUAUAAAUAGAGGGCUUGGGGUGGCCAUUUUACAAGAGAAAAAGACGGGGAAACACUGCACAAUUCGCUCUGCACUCGCCCAUACAAUGUAUUUUCUCACUUUUAAACACCUGUGAGCUCAUAUAUAGCCUCUUUUAUACACACAAAAGCCAGUGUUUACCCACUCUAAAGAUAUAGAAGCCUUUUUUAGCAGUCAGCUGUAAGCCUUCUCACACACUUUAGAGUCUUUCUCUUCAUCUUUGCACACACCCUUCUACACGUUGAAAGUCGUGUUGCUUAGUUUUGCCGGGACUUCGGUCCGUGGUUUCAUUCCAGUCUGUAUAUAUAUAUAUAUAUUGACUAACAUUAUCGAGUUAUGCCUCGAUUGAGCCUAGACUUCGGUCUGGAGCGUUUAUUUGCUUUCGUAUAUAUAUAUAUAUACACUUAUAUAUAUGAACUGUGUGUCGAACUUUGUUCGAUGAGCCUGGAUUUUACAUCCGAAGCGUUUACUCCUUUAAUAUAUAUAUAUAUAUAUAUAUAUAUAUAUAUUAACUGUGUGUCGAACUCUGUUCAAUGAGCCUGGAUUUUAUAUCCGGUGUGUUUACUCGCUUUUAUGUAUAUAUACACUUAUAUAUAUAAACUGUGGUCGAACUCUGUUCGAUGAGCCUGGAUUUUAUAUCCGGUGCAUUUACUCGCUUAUAUAUAUAUAUAUAAACUGUGGUCGAAUUCUGUUCGAUGAGCCUGGAUUCCACAUCCGGUGCGUUUAUUGCUUUUAAUAUAUAUAUAUAUAUACAUAUUUUAGUCCUGCCUGGAGUUUUCUUCGUGACAGGUGAUCGCUUUACAGCUUUAUUUACGUUUUGUCCCGCCUGGAGUUUCCUCCGUGGUGGUUGAUAGCUUUUAACAGCUUUAUUUAUAUUUCUGAUCCCCCAUGGAGGUGCUUCGUGGUUGGUGAUCAUGUCUGUAUAUAUGUAUUUACAGCUUUUAUAUAUAUACCUUCUUACUGCUUUCAUACAAAUUGCAGCAUUCUGUGCGCCUAGGAAUCAUGUGAUCACAGAUUCAUCCCAUUGGAUCUAGAUUUAAUUCCCGUGAUGGACAUUUUUCAGCUAUAAGCAGCUUGUAAAUUAUUCUGGGUUGUCUGAAUUUCCUUAGAUGGUUUCCAUACCCACAAGGAAGUUGGCAUUAUUUUUGUGUAUUAUUUUCGUACGGAUGCCUCACAUCCGUCAAAUAAAAAUCAAUCAAGCCGAUCACUUAAUAAAAAUGAGAGUGUAAAAGGUCUCAAUUCCUAUUGAGCAUCAGGGUUUGAAAAACCUCUUUUAUAAAACAACAUUGCUAUAUCUUGCUAAAAACUGAAUUUUUACAUAAAUUCAAACCCUGUGUAUAUAGGUUCGAACGAGGCCUCGCACAACUUCCUUAUAAUAGCACAUUGACCCACACACACACAUUCAGAUAACAGUUUAUUGAAAAGAGGCGGUCACCGUGGUAACACGGAUGUCAGGGGGUGCCUAACACCUUCCCCCCCGCAUAACCAAGUCCCCGAAUCCUAAUGAAUCUCGAUUUCACCGACCCGUAUAGCACUGUCACAUCACUGGGUCAAUGUGCAAACCUUUUCUCGGUUGUGUUGGUACAAUCAUUUAAAAAACCAACUGGCGACUCUUAACAGUCCAUCGUCAACAUUAUACAUGUCGGACCUUUUUCACUUGUUUUUUCAAACAAAUCUCACCUAAACUGAGAACACCAAAGAACAAGUAACAGAAAGGGACAUCCAAAAAUCCCGACGUUGACAUUCAUAACUGAAUUUUCUUAUCUACUGAUGUUGUCUUUGGUAACGCGGAUCUCCUAUUUCAAUCAAAAAGAUAUAGACGUUGCAGGAGGAUUUGGAAGGGUACAUAGUCGUUACUCUCUUCUUUAUAUAUAUACUGUUUACACGGCUUCAAGAAAUACAUAAGACUACUGAGCAGAAACUCUUCAAGCUAUCCAAGAUACACAUCAAUUAUCAUAUCAUUCUUUAAGUCUUGGUUUAUAGUGUUCUUGUAUUCCUUAUUUCAUAUCUAUUGUAAACAUAGUAAAAGUCUAGGUUGGCUUGGGGUUUUUAUUUUAGUAAUAUUCAGUCUGUACAACGAAGCUAUCAAAGUCUCAGAGGUGAGAGGUGUUGCAGAGGUGCAAAGGGGGCAGAGGUGUCCAAUCGAUCGUCGUUGUAACAGGGAGUUUUAUUGUCUUUGUAAUUGCUGAAUAUUAUUUUAAUAAAGUGAGUCUCCAAUCCUAGUUGGGAUUGGACGUGGAUUAGGCCACUAGAGUAGAGGAUAGGGGCUGAACCACGUAAAAAUCUCGGUGUGAUUUACUACCUUUUUGCUUCUAUUUUUAGCUUCAAUAUUCUGCAGUUUUGUUGUUUGUGUCGAAAAAGUUUUACACUAAUCCGGACAGGUAUUAGCUGUCCGUUUUUAACAGUUAAGAAUAUAACUAAUACGGACAGGGUUAGACCGUCCGAUUAUAGUCUGCUAUAGUAAACUUUAAAAAUUGGCCACUGUAGAUCACGUCUAAGUAUUAAAACCUAUUCACCCUCCCUCUAGGUGUGCUUUAUUAUAGAAUUACAAUGGAUACAAUAAACAUGAAAAAUUUAUACUUCCCUGGUAGGUAGGGAAAUUCAACAAUCUAAUUUACUCGCUCAACCACGUGGUUGAUGGCAAACACAAGAAACUGAGUAGCCAAUCUGAACCAAAGCUUCACUCCCAUCAGUAAAGUACACAAUUUCAACACCAGCCAUUAUCCAAUCAAUCACCAUGAAUUGGGAACCAAUGUUCUGACCACUUGGGAUAUGUGCGUUUAAACAAAUUCAUGCAUACAAUAUCAUUCUGCUGGAGGACCCCAUUCAAGAGACACUUCAUUGCCCCUGAAAAAAAAUAGCUGUUAAGAAAUUUGGUAAAAUGUUUCAGUCCUCCAGUGCAUUACAAGAAUGACAGCUUUGCCCAGCAGAGAAAAAUACAUUCUUAAUUUUUCACCAGCUAAAGUAAAAUAAUCAGUUUUUAUAUUUAAAUCUAUUUUCUCAGAUAAGCAAGCAGCAUAUAUAACAGGCAAAACUACAAUACGAUAAAACAGUUGGAACCUUUCUAGACAUAACCGCAGAAAACAAAAUCACAGUACAGGCACAAUUAUGGUACUGUUUAUUAAGUUUAACGUAUACAUCGGAAAGAGGGACAACCCUUUCUAGGAUUCAGCUAUUACAUAAUGGAAGAUCUAUUCGCUUAUAUUUUGCCAAUUCAAUCAAGUGACUUGUUCAUAGAAUAACCUCAAAAAAAUUUCCUAGAAUUAUCUGUUAUGUAAACGUAUCUACGAAUAGCCUCAAAAGAGAUAAAAUUCCAAAAAAUAUGCAUACAAGAAAGACAACAAUUCCUUUAAUCGGGUAAUCUGGGUUUGACAAUGUGGAACCUUUUCAACCUCUUAUAUGCAUUGAUUUGCAUUAUUUGUAAUCUGGAUGAAAACAUGCUCAUUGUUGUCAAAUGUCGAUUUAAAUUACAAUUCUGGUUGUAACAUGUUCUAUUAUUUUUAUGUGCAAAAGGUACCUGUAUGACAUUCUGACAAAGGCAAGUGUAGUCAAGAAAAAUAUACCGGUACUCAUCCUAUGCAACAAAGUGGAUAUGGUUACUGCACAUACCAAGGAGUUUAUCAGAAAACAACUGGAGAAGGAAAUGUAUGAUUUAGUUGUAUAUCUGAAUCAGACAUUUAUAAUCAUUUUAUUGCAGAGAAUAAUAUUUACAUACUAAGAUCUCUUUCCACCAUUGCUUUUAGAGUAGAAUUUUGAUAAAGGUCUUACGCAACCACUUUAUAUUUCUUUGUCGCAACCAUUUUAAGAAAAGCCUGUUGAAUUGGACUUAUUGAACUAAAUUUUCAACUUAACAUAUAGUUUGUAAAAACAUAUAAGGUUAUGUUUUUGACUGCACCCUGCAAUAACAAUAUGAUGAUUAACCUCUCUUGAAGGUAAAAUUAAAAACCUAUUAAUUAAUUAUUAUGAAUUAUAUAUGCCAAGUUUAUAUAUGAUAUUUGACCUAUUUAUGGUCCAUAUUGGUUUUGUGAUUUAAAUAAAGCACUCCUCAUUAUAGGUGCAUUCAUUAUGUCACAUUAAUCAGAUCAUCCAACAUGACUCUUUAUCUUCAUACUGGUACCAAACAACAACAACUACAAACAGAAGUAGCUAAAAACCAAUAUAUCAUUUUCCAGUAAAAUGUGAUACUGGAGACUUAUUAAUUAUUCUAUGAUUUCUUACCAUUCUUUGAUCAUUACCAGAUAAAUUAACUUUCUGACCGCUUCUUAGAGGUGUUUUCAUGCACUUGAAUAGGCAGCAUUCCCCGAGAAAAAUUAUAUAUAUAUAUAUAUAUAUAUAUAUAUAUAUAUAUAUAUAUAUAUAUAUAUAUAUAUAUAUAGACAUCAGCCAUACUACCACAACGCAAGUCUUAAACUCAAGAAGUUAUCUACAAUUAUGUUACAUAUACUUGUGAUUUACUUCCUCAGUUUCUCAGUAUACUUAAAGCAAUGGGACUAUGGGGCAGGAUUUUUUUUUAAAGUUUAAAUCAUAAUGAUUCAGAUAAUACUAAUGUUGUAAUAAUGAUGGCAAUAUUCAAUUCCAAUUAUGAAAACUGUAUAAAAAUUGAUAAACUUUAGAGGAAAAGUAAUGUUGUAACAACUCAAAUUAUAUCAAAUACCUAGAAUGAAGUCUACAGCUUGAUGUGACCAAUUCACAAAUUUAGGCUCAUCUAUCUGCCAAUAAAAAAAUUAACGUAAACAAAAAUGGAAAAUAUAUUUACUUAAAUGAGCGCAUAGUGUUAUCAACAAAGGGAAACACAGAUAAGACAGAGACUCACACACCUGGAUAGAAGAAACAGUUUCUCAGAGCUCCACAAUACACAGAACUCUAGCCUCCUAGUGAGAGCGGGAAGUUACUUUUGAUAUUCCCUUUUGUGUCUUCUCCACCUGUCCAAGGCCAGGAGGGAAUGGAUAGUAGUAACUUUCAAUGUGUUCUGCUGCUGCACAGCCUUGGACCAGAAUCUGAAUUAAUGGAUAACAUUAGCCUUUUCACCAUUAUUUAUUUCGUUCAAGCAAAAUCCAUGAUUUAUCAUCGCCUUAUCAAAUUAGUAUAUCAGAAAUCCAUCAAAGGAGUCAAUUUUACAAAUAAACACGCGCACAAGAAUACCGAUGCAACUCAGGCAUGCUUCAGUCAUAAUUUCGGUUACGCAAGGCAAUAAACAUUUGUGGACUCAAAAAACAUUGUAGAGUCGAAGCGCNNNNNNNNNNNNNNNNNNNNNNNNNNNNNNNNNNNNNNNNNNNNNNNNNNNNNNNNNNNNNNNNNNNNNNNNNNNNNNNNNNNNNNNNNNNNNNNNNNNNNNNNNNNNNNNNNNNNNNNNNNNNNNNNNNNNNNNNNNNNNNNNNNNNNNNNNNNNNNNNNNNNNNNNNNNNNNNNNNNNNNNNNNNNNNNNNNNNNNNNNNNNNNNNNNNNNNNNNNNNNNNNNNNNNNNNNNNNNNNNNNNNNNNNNNNNNNNNNNNNNNNNNNNNNNNNNNNNNNNNNNNNNNNNNNNNNNNNNNNNNNNNNNNNNNNNNNNNNNNNNNNNNNNNNNNNNNNNNNNNNNNNNNNNNNNNNNNNNNNNNNNNNNNNNNNNNNNNNNNNNNNNNNNNNNNNNNNNNUAUAUAUAUAUAUAUAUAUAUAUAUAUAUAUAUAUAUAUAUAUAUAUAUAUAUAUAUAUAUAUAUAUUGAAAACAGUACCAAAGAGAAUAUAUCAACAAAAUAAAUAGGAGUAUAUAUAAAUAAUUUUUAUCUCUUUUUCAUAUGUGUCUAUAGAAGCUGCUGCUCUACUUUCUCCAUCAAUCUUGUGAAAGCAUUCAUUCCAGUCCAAAACCUUAUCUUCACCAUUGACCACCUAUUGUCGGAGAAAGUGAAAAAUGUUGGUGAGUAAACUGGCACAAUAUACUUAAGAAGGAUUUUUAUUCAAAUGUUGAGAAAUGAAAAUAAUUCCUCCAAAUUCAUGGACAUUAUAACACCCCCAUACAUAACACAAUGGAGGGCAAAGUCAAAGACACAAACACACCAAAUUUUCUCUUUUAAUUUAACAAUGAUGAUAAUAGAGAGAUUUCUUUUCAAAUUAGUGUCCAGUCCUAAAUAUUAUAGACGUCAUAACUGGGAUGAUAUUGGAACACCAAAAAACAUGAAAAUUACAAAAUAAUGAUAUACUAAAUGGAGAACUAAAAACGUAUAAGCAUACAGACACAGAAAAUUGGACAGGCCGCAUUCAAAAAUGCGCGCACACACAUUAGACAAUGAAAACACUACGAGGUACUGCAUUUUUUUCCACUAAUCAAUCAAUUUUGUUAAUGAAAUUUAAUUUAUGCAAGUAAAUAUCUUAAUCAACCUCAAAUAUCAGUCCUUUUUCUGGGACAGUAUCAAGAGCUUCCACACAUAUGAAGGCAGCGUCCUCCUUGCUCAGGCUUCACUCUGUUGCACUACCCUGUCAUAAUAAUGUAAAACCAAUAUGAAAUAUAUAUGUUUACAAAGCAUACAAUCAAGUUUAUGUAUACAUUCUUGCAACAGUGACUUCUGAAUCCUGCAAAAGUGAUCUAAUAUUAAGGGCAAAUAGAUGAAAAAGUAUAUAAUUUUAGAAGUAAUAAGAGAAAGAAUGGUGUUUAGAUGCCUUGUUUUGUACUUUAAUAUUGAAUGGAGCUUAUUUAUAACAGAAGGCACGAGUAUUAGGAGAAUAGUUGUAUUGGAUUCUUCCCAGCAACUUCAGAAUACCAAGAUUUCCAUGCUUCCAUAUAAUGACCAAAUAAGCCUUUCAAAGUUAAAAAAUCACAAGAAAACCAGUUUAAUAUUAUUAUAAUUUGCUGGGACUCAUGACACAGGUAUUAAUGCACAAGUCACAACUGUGACUCCAUGUGAAUGACAUAUAAAUAAACUCCUUUGCCAAGACCAACAGUAUGCAAAACUAUUCAGUUUUAUAAGUCAUUACCCAGUUUGGCUCAUACUAAAUAAGGACGCCUUGCCUUGCCUCUUGGGUUUUCCCUUUCCUGCAACUUGAAAUACAACUCUCUUCAACAUUUAUCCUCUCACGAUUCCAUUUUGCCUCCAGAGAUUUCCAUUUAGUAUUGAACAUACUAUCUAAUUUCUUUGAUGCCUUACUAAAAUGGUUAAAAGGAGGGUUAUACGUAAUGGCAUUGGAAAAAGUCAGUCUGACAUCUGCAGUAAAUUCCUCGACAUUAAAACUUCUGGAAAAAUAGAAUAAGAGUUGGAAAAAUUUCAAAAUUGGGAACAAAAUCAAAUAUUGGUGUUAAUAUGGAAAAUACUCCGAAGAUUUGGAAACAAAUUAUGUCAAAUAUUUUAUAUAGAAUAUUGCAAGCAAUAUUGUCCAAAACACAGAAAUCAACCGAACAGAGUUCACCAAAACCUAAAUAUCCAUGAAUAUUUCAAAGAGAAGUUAGAGAACCAAAUAUAUUUCCAUAUAUAUGUUGAGGAGCAUGUGAAAUUAUCCAAUGUCAAGUCUUACCGAUUGAAUGGUCUGAUCGAAGUGUGCUGGGCUGGAGAGAGGGGUUGAGAACUCCUCGAUCGGCUGAAGCUCCUCAAACUUUGUAAAAGUGACCAAGACUCGAAUUGUUGGCACAAUUGGGAUAGCAAUAUACAGGAUGUUUACCCUUUGGGACUGAGUCUUCUUCGCCGUUUGAAAGAAUUUGAAAUGAAUUUAGUUGCCGUAUUUGAAUAUGUGAUCCCAGAUUUAGGGGAAUUAUUAUAGAUGGGCAUAAAGGAUAAUUAGGAGCAUUAAUUAGGUUAGACAGGUGUUAAUUUUUUAGAAUGACAGAUGUCAAAUUAUUGUGUCAUGUACUGUGAUUUAGUAUAUAUAGACUAGAUACAAACUCGCGCGUUGCGGCGGGAUUAUUUAAUUUUUUAAUAAUAAAUAUGUACGUAUAAUUAAUAAAUUAAAAUAUAAUAAAAAGAUGGUAAAUUGUUGUGCGAUGAUCAAAUUUCAUAGCGAACAUUCAAAUAAUCCAAAUUAAAAACUCAAAGAUCAACGUACUAAUUGUGUUUAGAAGUUUCUAAUUUUUAAAACAACCAAGAUACGUAGUAAAAUGAGAUAAUGAAUUAAAUUAAUUUGAAGCAGUAAAGUUGUCAUCUUUCUCGAUUUUGAUCUUCUUUUGCAUUUUGUUGGUUGACAUUUCAACAUCAGUUGACUGAGAUCCUUGUACAUCAUCAUCGCUGAUUGAAUGUAUAGGCCUUUUGCUUAUAGGUGUGACACAGUUGACAACAUCGAGCAUUGACUCACCCUGUAUAGACUGUAAUAACAGAGUUAAAUUGUGUAAGAUUCAAUUAUUUUUUCCAUAAGUGUAAACAAAUUUAUUGUAGGAUUCAACAUUAACCAAAUGAAUUACCUGAGGCUCAUCACAUAUACUUGUGUAGGAUUUAAUUAUUUUUUUCAUCGUUAGUCAUCCUAGCAACUGUGUAUGUCGCAUAAUUUGCCUUCAAAUUAUAAGAUGAUAUCUGUAUUUUGAAAAGGAACCUCUUUUGCAACAAUAUAUUGAGUUCAUCCGGAAAACAAUCAGUGUGACGCCCCCAAAAUAGGUAUACAUCACCUAUUCUGAGUCGCCAAAUACAUGGUACAGAAUACAAAUACAAUCUUUAAUAUACAACAGGAGAGCUGUGAGUUUUAAUACAAAUACUGUCAUCUAGACAAUAUCCACUCUCAGAAUAAGUACUCAUUACAUUUAUUGUCACACUAUUUAACAGAAUAGUGAGGACUACUAGCUAAUACUAUCAUCCGGACCAUCACUCCGUUCCCCGACUCGUCCCAGCUACGUUCUCAUUUCCUGAAGAGAACAGUGAAAGAAAGGGUGAGCUCAACUAGCCCAGUAAGAAAUAUUAUGACUAAGAUAAUGCAGAAUAAAUUAUCAUUAGCAUUCAACAGUGUUAAACUGAUAAAAUUUAACAAACAUCAAGUUUAACUGUAGUGGAACAAGUAAUUCAUUAGAAGAGUCAAGUAGAGAAUAAAAUCUACUAUCUUUAAAAGGUUUUUCAUGACUUUUAUCGCUGAGACUCAGCUUAAUAAAUAAUCCACAUCAUCGAAUCACCCCUGCACUACGGCCAAGGAUAUUCUUUAGUAUCACGACCACAAUUAUCCAUGCACUACGGGCCAAGAAUAUUUGUGUAUUCAUUAAUGGUNNNNNNNNNNNNNNNNNNNNNNNNNNNNNNNNNNNNNNNNNNNNNNNNNNNNNNNNNNNNNNNNNNNNNNNNNNNNNNNNNNNNNNNNNNNNNNNNNNNNNNNNNNNNNNNNNNNNNNNNNNNNNNNNNNNNNNNNNNNNNNNNNNNNNNNNNNNNNNNNNNNNNNNNNNNNNNNNNNNNNNNNNNNNNNNNNNNNNNNNNNNNNNNNNNNNNNNNNNNNNNNNNNNNNNNNNNNNNNNNNNNNNNNNNNNNNNNNNNNNNNNNNNNNNNNNNNNNNNNNNNNNNNNNNNNNNNNNNNNNNNNNNNNNNNNNNNNNNNNNNNNNNNNNNNNNNNNNNNNNNNNNNNNNNNNNNNNNNNNNNNNNNNNNNNNNNNNNNNNNNNNNNNNNNNNNNNNNNNNNNNNNNNNNNNNNNNNNNNNNNNNNNNNNNNNNNNNNNNNNNNNNNNNNNNNNNNNNNNNNNNNNNNNNNNNNNNNNNNNNNNNNNNNNNNNNNNNNNNNNNNNNNNNNNNNNNNNNNNNNNNNNNNNNNNNNNNNNNNNNNNNNNNNNNNNNNNNNNNNNNNNNNNNNNNNNNNNNNNNNNNNNNNNNNNNNNNNNNNNNNNNNNNNNNNNNNNNNNNNNNNNNNNNNNNNNNNNNNNNNNNNNNNNNNNNNNNNNNNNNNNNNNNNNNNNNNNNNNNNNNNNNNNNNNNNNNNNNNNNNNNNNNNNNNNNNNNNNNNNNNNNNNNNNNNNNNNNNNNNNNNNNNNNNNNNNNNNNNNNNNNNNNNNNNNNNNNNNNNNNNNNNNNNNNNNNNNNNNNNNNNNNNNNNNNNNNNNNNNNNNNNNNNNNNNNNNNNNNNNNNNNNNNNNNNNNNNNNNNNNNNNNNNNNNNNNNNNNNNNNNNNNNNNNNNNNNNNNNNNNNNNNNNNNNNNNNNNNNNNNNNNNNNNNNNNNNNNNNNNNNNNNNNNNNNNNNNNNNNNNNNNNNNNNNNNNNNNNNNNNNNNNNNNNNNNNNNNNNNNNNNNNNNNNNNNNNNNNNNNNNNNNNNNNNNNNNNNNNNNNNNNNNNNNNNNNNNNNNNNNNNNNNNNNNNNNNNNNNNNNNNNNNNNNNNNNNNNNNNNNNNNNNNNNNNNNNNNNNNNNNNNNNNNNNNNNNNNNNNNNNNNNNNNNNNNNNNNNNNNNNNNNNNNNNNNNNNNNNNNNNNNNNNNNNNNNNNNNNNNNNNNNNNNNNNNNNNNNNNNNNNNNNNNNNNNNNNNNNNNNNNNNNNNNNNNNNNNNNNNNNNNNNNNNNNNNNNNNNNNNNNNNNNNNNNNNNNNNNNNNNNNNNNNNNNNNNNNNNNNNNNNNNNNNNNNNNNNNNNNNNNNNNNNNNNNNNNNNNNNNNNNNNNNNNNNNNNNNNNNNNNNNNNNNNNNNNNNNNNNNNNNNNNNNNNNNNNNNNNNNNNNNNNNNNNNNNNNNNNUGGGGUCCACCAAUGAUUGUGCCGUUGUACGAAUAUUCCCUGUUAAAACGAAUAUUCCCCGACCAAUCGAAUAUUAUAUAACAACUUGCGUACUUUGCAAAAUUUAUAAAUAUUACCCACAACUAUAACAUUAUAUCAAUUUCACUCCAUAAUAUUUAAAAAUAAUAUUUAUAGAAAUUCAUCUUUAUUCAAAAAGUUGGGAUUUUACAAUCAGAGUCUCCAUCCUUUAACGCAUUUAAAAAACAUGAAUUAACAAUAGUUAUGUACACAAGGUUAAGACUGUAUAUUUUAAAUAUGUAAUGUGUUUUUAUAUUUUAAUUUUACGUUAAUCAAUUGUUCCCUCAAUUCAUAAGCUGACUUUCCUAUGACGUGUUGGGCUUCACGAUCAAAUAGAACAAAAGAUGCACUGGACGUAUCAUCCAUUACUUUAACUUGAACUUUAAAUCUGCAAUUAAAAGUUAAAUUUACAAAGUUAGAUAAUAUUAACAGAGUGAACAAAGUAUGAACAUAAGGUAGAUAUAACGUAUAACAAAAUAUUAUAUCAUAAUACCUCGGUGUAACAGAAUUAACAUGGUCAAAACAUUUAUCACACCAAUAUUUUCCGCUAUCUGGUUUUACUUUUUUGCGGCAUUUUUUGCGAGAAUUAUUAAACCAAUUAUAUUCGAUUUCUAUACAUAAAAUAGUACCAAGUACCACACAUGAUGACUCCUGGAGUGUAAAAAAAAUGAACAACUGAAAAUUAGUAAAUGUUGUGAAAAAAGUAAGGUGUUUUAAAAACGGUUUUACCUCUGUUGCAUCCCGUAUUUCUUCUAGAGUUUUUCUAUCAUAGAUUUGGAGGAAUUCAUCUGUAAUAGAUAAUGCGCUCUGGCUGGAUAGAUGAGUUAUUGUAGUUUUACCAGAAUUGGCAUCACAAAUGCUAAUAGACAACAAUGAUUGUAGUUAAAUGAAAAAUUAAUUUGUAGUGGGAAUAGAUUUUAAUAAGGAGUUCAAAUUAGAACAUAGUAUACCUAUUUUUAAAAUUAACAACCUCAGGGAUAUUUGUAAGACCCCAACUUAUUAAUGAAUAAAAUCAAAUUUCCUCUAAUUAUUAUUGUGAAUAAUAAGGUAUUAAUUUGAUAUAAUACUUUGGUUAUGGGUGAAAUGUGCAAAAUUUUCAAAAUAAGCAAGUGGUUAUAAAAUAUUCAAUUGUCGGGGAAUAUUCGUUUGGUCGUGGAAUAUUCUUUCUGUCGGGAAAUAUUCGUAUGACGGCGCAUCUAUUUGUGGGCCCCAUAAUGGAUAACGGUCGGAUGAAGAAAAUGACAAAAUUGAAUAACGGCGUAGUUGUUACCGUUAAUACUGUUGGAAUAUCCGGUGGUUAAAAUACAAUAAUACGCGUGGUUGCAUAGUAGCACACGGUAUUGCACAGUAUUGUUGAAUUAUUGAUUCUUACGUAAGAAGGCACUACUCAAUAAUUGUUACAGUAAUUACUGUUCAAUAUUUUAUUUUUAUUGAUUCAAUAAUUGCUGCGUUGAUAUUUUAUAUUAUUGUUUCAAUAAUUAUCACUGCACGGUAUUUUCUAUUAUCAGAUCAAUAAUUAUAUUAUUUGGAAUAAUAUUAUUAGAUAGCAUUAUUGGCAAUGUCUAGAAAGUUCUGUCAAGGAGAGGUUUGUUCACCUAAUUGCGCGCCAGUAAGGAGAAAUUCUUACCGGAAAGCCCCCUCUUUCCUGGGAACGGCCUGAUUGUCAUAAAUGUGAUUCUGUAAUAUUAUUUAUGAAUAAUUAAUUAUUGAUUCAUAUGAUAAGGAAAUAUUUAUUUUAUAUGGAUAUAAAUGAUGGAUUUAUUUAUGUGGUUAUAAAUGAAGGAAUUAAUGUUGAGGUGUUUUAUCAGUAUUUUGUCGGAUUGGAGGUAUUAAAAAUCAAACCAGUGGUUUUUGAGAUAUAUUGCAGGAGUUAUAAUUUUUAAUCCGACCAUUGGAUCGUUGUAAUUUUUCGAUAUGUUAUACAUAUAUAAGUUGAGUAUAUGUCCACAAAUUUUGAACCGUUAAAAAUGAACGUAUGAUUUGUUAUGAAUUUUAAGAGGUGACUGAUUCAGAAAUUAGGAUUAUAAAUGAUUUUGGUGGAAAAUUCUAGAAUUGAGUGGGCCCCACUUGUGGUUGGUGAAGAAAUGUGCUGAAUUUUAUUUCAAAUGUGGUGGGUAGGAAUAGUAACAGGUAAAGCCAUCAGGUAGCAGGUCAAGUCUGCUUCGCCGUGCUAACAUUUUCCUAUAAAUAGAGGGCUAAGUUAGAAUUAAAAAUUACACCAGAAACAAGUUUUCUCUCUUUCUCUCUCUAGAUUAUUGAGUUUAUUUUGUGAGUAUUUAGAUACUUUGUGAGUUUCUAUUCAUCAGUGCAAGUUUCCUUCAGUCUUCUACCGAUAUUCUGAUCAGAAGUACUGAUAUUUUGAGGUAAGGGGUGUUAUAUUCUUCUUAAAAUGAUAUUUUCUUCAAUAUCAUUAUGCCGAAAUGUUGGUAUGAACUUUUUAUCAAAUUUAGAACUUUUUGUGUCGGGGUUACUAUUCACGUAUACGAUACUAUUCACGUACACGGCACUAUUCAUCGAAAAAUGAAAUUUUUUUCUUUUUGUCCAAGUUGUUUAUUAUGGUUACAAUCUUUGAUUGUAUCCAUGUUUUGAUCAUUAUUCUUGAAUUUUGCUUCAAAAUUGGUUAUUUCAGAAUAUUAUUGAACUUGGAUAAACUGUAAUAUGAAUCCUUAGUAUUUGAUCUUUUAUCUCACUGGAUUCAUUUUCUUUAAAAUAUUUUUCAUCAUCCUCAGUCCUAAAUGAUGAUACAAAUGAAUAUCUUUGACCUGUAGUGCAAAGAUGAAUGAUUACCUAAUGAAUAUCUUUGGCCCGUAGUGCAAAGAUGAACAGGUGUUGAGAUGAACAUGACCAACUGGUGAUACAAAUGAAUAUCUUUNNNNNNNNNNNNNNNNNNNNNNNNNNNNNNNNNNNNNNNNNNNNNNNNNNNNNNNNNNNNNNNNNNNNNNNNNNNNNNNNNNNNNNNNNNNNNNNNNNNNNNNNNNNNNNNNNNNNNNNNNNNNNNNNNNNNNNNNNNNNNNNNNNNNNNNNNNNNNNNNNNNNNNNNNNNNNNNNNNNNNNNNNNNNNNNNNNNNNNNNNNNNNNNNNNNNNNNNNNNNNNNNNNNNNNNNNNNNNNNNNNNNNNNNNNNNNNNNNNNNNNNNNNNNNNNNNNNNNNNNNNNNNNNNNNNNNNNNNNNNNNNNNNNNNNNNNNNNNNNNNNNNNNNNNNNNNNNNNNNNNNNNNNNNNNNNNNNNNNNNNNNNNNNNNNNNNNNNNNNNNNNNNNNNNNNNNNNNNNNNNNNNNNNNNNNNNNNNNNNNNNNNNNNNNNNNNNNNNNNNNNNNNNNNNNNNNNNNNNNNNNNNNNNNNNNNNNNNNNNNNNNNNNNNNNNNNNNNNNNNNNNNNNGAGUUGGGACCACCAGAAUUUAAGGGAAAGCCGGAUCCGAUCAUGGCGGAAACGUGGGUCAAGCAAAUUACCAAGAUAUUCGAUGUCUUGGGAUGCACGGAGGAACAGAAGGUUCCAUUCGCCACCUUUAUGUUCCGCGGUGAGGCAGACUACUGGUGGGAUUCUGUGAAGCGUACCCAGCCAGCCGCACUCAGCAUGUCUUGGGAAACAUUUCAGAAACUAUUCAAUGACAAGUACUUUCCUGAAAGUAUUCGUCAUAUGAAGGAGGUGGAGUUUAUUAGACUGGAACAAAACAACAUGACGGUGUCCCAGUACGAGGCGAAGUUUGCAGAGUUAUCCAGGUUUGCACCUCAUUUGGUCGAAAAUGAGGAACGAAUGACAAGGAUGUUUCUAAGAGGUCUAAAGCCCGAGAUUCGGCAAUAUCUUAUCUCUCAUAAAUUUUCUUUAUAUUCAGAUGUUGUAAACAGGGCUCAAUUAUUAGAGCGAGAUAAUGAGUAUGUUCAACCAAAGGACCACAACCAGGGUCAUACCGGUGGCAUCAGUCAUCGAAGCAAUGAAAACUAGUAGGGAGGAAAACAUUCGGACAAAAGCGGUAACCACUCUGGUGGUAAUCGUGGUGGUGAUAAUAGAAGGAGCGAGUCGGGAGGAGAUUUCAAGAAGAGAAGGUACACCAAUGAUAACGAGCAACGGUCGUUUAUUUCAAAUGCGGGAAGGAGGGACACAUCAACCCAAACUGCCCACAACAAUCCAAGGUGUGUUAUAACUGUGGAAAUGAAGGUUAUAUAGCUAGAGAUUGUCUAGUUGCGAAACCAAGUUCAACAGGGAUGGUGACUCCAAAGCCUGUCCCGGAAAAGUCAAAGUCGGUGGUUCCUGGAAGGGCGUUUGUCGUGACUGCACAAAAUGCGAGGAAUCCAAACGAGGUGAUCACGGGUAAGCUUAUCAUAAACUCUUGCGAAGUUUAUACCUUACUAGAUACCGGUUCUACCCAUUCUUUUAUUUCUCCUUCUUGUGCUCAACGUUUAAACUUGACUCCAGAGAAAUUAGACUUUAACUUAUCUGUUGAGACUCCGUUAGGAGAAAUUUUCGUUACAUCUACUGUUUUUAAAUCUUGAAUGAUUAAAGUCGAUACCAUCACAUUACCUGCCGACCUUAUUUCGUUGAAAAUUCUUGCAUUUGAUGUGAUUUUGGGGAUUGAUUGGUUAACCACGCAUCAUGCUAAAAUUAAUUAUUUUCGUAAGGUUGUUAGUUUUCAUAUUCCUAACCAACCUAUCAUGCGAAUUCAAACAACCAAACCAUUAAAAUCAAUUACUGUCAUAUCAAGCCAUAAAGCUAUUCGUUUAUUGAAAAAUAGAUGUCAAGCUUUCUUAGCCCAUGUCACAGACUUGAACAAAAAACACGUUAGAUUUGAAUACUAUUUUCGUUGUUAGUGAAUUUCCUGACGUAUUUCCUGAAGAACUUCCCGGUCUACCCCCAGAACGUGAAGUUGAAUUCUUUAUUGACCUUGAACCUGGUACAAAGCCCAUUUCUAAAACCCCAUAUCGAAUGGCUCCUAUUGAACUUCAGGAGUUAAAGGUCCAACUACAGGAGUUAUUAGACAUCGGUUUCAUUCGUCCUAGUACGUCUCCUUGGGGUGCUCCUGUUUUAUUCGUAAAGAAGAAAGACGGGAGUAUGCGACUUUGUAUUGACUACCGAGAAUUGAACCAUGUCACCAUCAAGAAUAGGUAUCCGCUACCUCGCAUUGAUGACCUGUUUGACCAGUUGCAAGGAGCACAAUUCUUUUCAAAGAUCGAUCUUCGUUCUGGAUAUCAUCAGCUGAAGAUUAAAACUGAGGAUAUUCCAAAGACUGCCUUCAGAACUCGGUACGGGCAUUAUGAAUUCUUAGUCAUGUCUUUUGGAUUGACUAAUGCUCCUGCUUCUUUCAUGGAUAUGAUAAACUGUGUAUUCAAGGAAUAUUUGGAUCAGUUCGUUGUUGUCUUUAUUGAUGACAUCCUCAUCUAUUCCAAAAGCCGUGAAGAUCAUGAGCAACAUUUGAAGCUNNNNNNNNNNNNNNNNNNNNNNNNNNNNNNNNNNNNNNNNNNNNNNNNNNNNNNNNNNNNNNNNNNNNNNNNNNNNNNNNNNNNNNNNNNNNNNNNNNNNGGAACACAUUACUAUGGAUUUCGUUACGGGUCUUUCCAAGGUUUCUCAAGGCAUAGAUGCGAUUUGGGUUAUUGUUGAUAGAUUAACUAAGUCUGCUCAUUUCUUGCCUAUACAGGAGACUUAUUCCCUUGAACGUCUUGCUAGUAUGUACGUGAACGAGAUUGUGAGAUUGCAUGGCGUGCCAGUAUCCAUAGUUUCGGAUCGUGACCCAAGAUUCACUUCACGAUUUUGGGUUAGCUUGCAGAAAGCUAUGGGCACGGAUUUACGAUUUAGUUCGGUAUACCAUCCUCAAACGGACGGACAAUCAGAGAGGACAAUUCAAACUCUUGAAGAUAUAUUAAGACUCUAUGUCCUAGAUCUCAAAGAGAGUUGGGAUAAGUACCUACUAUUGGUGGAAUUCUCCUACAACAACAGUUAUCAGGCGAGCAUAGGUGUGGCUCCAUUCGAGGUGUUGUAUGAAAGAAAAUGUUGUUCUCCAGUAUGCUGGGAUGAGGUGGGUGAAGCAACAUUGUUGGGACCAGAGUUGGUACGCAUGACUACAGAGAAGAUCCAAACGAUUCGACAACGUAUACAAAUGGCACAGGAUCGAAAAAAGAGUUAUGCAGAUCUUCAUCGGAAGGACGUGGAAUUUAAUAUUGGGGAUCAUGUAUUGUUACGUGUUGCACCAUGGAAGGGAGUUACAAGAUUUGGGAAGAGAGAAAAGCUCAAUCCAAGAUUUGUUGGUCCAUUUGAGAUUCUUGACCGAAUAGGAAAUGUGGCCUAUAGACUCGCAUUACCUCCAAGUAUGUCUCGUGAUGUAUACCUAUUUUAGGGGUGUCACAAUAUCUGCAUUUAUAAGAAGUCUCGAACCUAACAUUGAGUUGGACAAAGCUGGUGUACCUAUGUAAUGGCAAAUAUUGCAUAGUUAAUAAAUAUAUAUAUUUGGAAAGAUAUUUUGCAUACAAAAACGUAUUAGUACCUUUCCAGAACUUGAUUUUUUCAAACUAUAAAACAAUUAUAAUAUUUUUUUGAUUUUCUGUUUCAGCAAAGGAACAAAUUUGGUUUGCAAAGUCAUCCCACAAGGUGCAACUCAAUACAUUAUGACUGUUAGAAAAAUAUAAUGUAAGAUUAAUUUAAAUGAUUAUAGUUAUUAAUAAAAGAAGUGUUCGUACAGUAUAAAAAUUUACCUGUUAUCAGUUAAUUCAAUAUUAACUCUCUUGCUCUGUUUACCAUUGCUUGUACUGAUUUCAACACUCCCUAUCACAGUUGGUUGUCCAAUAACAUCUGAUUAUAUGCAACAAAAUUAGAUUAUAAUUAAAAAAACUCAGGAUGUAAAAACCUAUAGGGAUAAUUAUUGUUAAACAUACCAACUAAGUAUGAAUCAUCAACCGCAGAUGAUAGUAUUUGGUCAUAUGGAGUGAAUUGAAAUCCAUAUGUAUGAAUGGGAGCCUCAUCUAACUCUCGCAGUGAGAUGAAAUAUAAAAAAUUAAUUUUGUAUGGAUGUUGAGUAGCUCUGAAAGAACCACCAUUCUGAUUGACAACGAAAUUGGUGAUUAUAAAGUCUUAAUGUUCCUUGACUGUUGUUUGAAAUUUUGUAAAUAGAGACCGUUUGAUAUUCGCUUGUAUUUUGGUGUCCUAUAAAAGUAUAAUAUGCAUAUGGUAAGAUGUUGUAAUUUGGAGUUGCGUAUGUAUGUGUUUGCAUAUAUAUAUAUAUAUAUAUAUAUAUAUAUAUAUACACACACACACCUUUUCAUCCAACAAUACCAUCUCAAUGCUGUUUAUGUAGUCUGCUUUGUUGAAGCUUGGCAUAUUCCAGAGUCAAGUUAUCCUUACUUUAAUAUUCCAUGUCUCUUUGACAGGGCUAAUGUCAUCAACAAAAUCGUACCUAGUCGUCAUCUAAAUAUUGGGAUAGGUAAAAUAAUAAGGAAGAGUUGAAUGUUUGUAGCAUGAACUGUUGUGUAUUGAGUUGGUAUUUAUAGCCAUAAUAUCAUAAAUUAGUGAUUUUUUUAGGAUAUAAUUAAGUAGUAAUUUAGGGGAUUACAAAGUAUAUAAUUAAGAUAUAACAAUGAAAUUACAAAGGAUAAUAUCAUAAUUAAAUUACAAAGGAUAAUAUUAAAAUAGUUGAUAUAAAUCUAAAAUCUGUUCAAAUUUAUAGUAGUGAUUUAGGGGAUUAUAAUCAAUAAAUUAUGAGAUAACAAUAAAAUUACAAAGGAUAAUAUCAAAAUAUUUGAUAUAAAUCAAAAAACUGUUUAGAUUUAUAGUAGUUAUUUAGGGGAUUAUAAUCAAUAAAUUAAGAGGUAAUGAUUAAAUUACUAAGGAUAAUUUCAUAAUUAAAUUAUAAAGGAUAAUAUCAUAAUUAAAUUACAAAGGAUAAUAUCAAAAUAGUUGAUAGAAAUCUAAAAAAGGUUUAGAUUUCUAGUAGUUACUUAGGGGAUUAUAAUCAAUAAAUUAAGGAUAAUGUAAAAAUUAAUAUGGAUUCUUGAUCCAUGGCAUAAUUGUAUAAUGAUUCACACUCAUUUGAAGUCUUUUGUCAUUUGAAGUCUUUUGUCACUAAAAUAUGAUAUUCAAGAAAAACAACCGAAUACAUAUAAAAUUGAUGAUAGAUAAUACUACUUCAAUUUUUAGUCAUUUCAAGCAAUCAUGCCUUUACACAAUAAUAAUUUUUAAAGUUGGAGUAAUAGUGUAAUAUUUUAUGUAUGAAAUUGAUGUGAUAAAAGUUGUUAAUUAAUGACUUAGAAAAAGAUGGAUAGACUACCAUACAUCCUUUCAGAUUUAUUUUUUGCUUGAAAUUGGCAUUUCAGAUUUACGUACACAUUUAUUAUUUUUAGCUUGGAAUUGGCAUUGUCGUGCUACUUUGUCUCAUUUUUUAAAAUGAAGGUCUAUUUAGACAUCAAAUUAUUGCAGAUACAGAAGAGUGUUCCAUAGUUGUCACUUCGACAUUAUUAGUGCACCCAAUGUAUAACCUCCAUAAUGUUAAUUAAGUAAUAAUAUGAUAUAAAAAAUAUUAGUAAUAUAAAUAAUAAAAUGCUAAAAAACUAUACUAAUAAAAUUUUAAAUUAAAAUUAUUAAUACCCUUCCAUAUAUAAUUAAUUUUCCAAAAUAAUUACAUAUAAACAAACAGAAGAAUAAUUAAAUCAACUAUUACAUAUCUAAACUUUGGAGCUAUUUAAUGAAAUAAAAUCGUUAUCUAUACAUGGGGAAUUUUUUUUGUAGAGUAUUGACAAUCCAAUCUAGUAAAUAAUUUUAUAUUAAGGUUGUAAAAUGGUAGCGUAGUACUACCACCAUUUUUCAAAAAAGCAAUUCUUAUCUUUUAUCAUAAUAAACUUAUACAAAUUUAUUACAAAAAUUGUGAUGUGAAUUAAUUUAAAAUUUGGAAAAUGUUAACCAAAAAACAAUUUUUGGUUAGUAUAAUCUCCAAAUUUGUUCAGCCAUUCUUGUAAUUCUAUGUAUGUGCACACCUAGAGGGGGGGUGAAUAGGUGUUCAAGCUAAAAGUGAUAAACAGUGAAAACUUUUUCUAAUUUUCUGGUACAGGUUUAAUUCAGACAGCUGUGCCUGUCUGUUUUGGUGUCUGGAUUAGUGGCGUGAAUAACAAGAAGUGCAGAACGUGAAUGACAGUUAAAGAGAGAAACAGAAGUAAAAAUCACACCAAGAUUUUUACGUGGUUCAGCCCCUAUCCUCUAAUCUAGUGGCCUAAUCCACGUCCAAUCCCAACUAGGAUUGGAGACUCUUUUUAUUAAACUUAAUAUUCAAUUAAAUACAAUAAAAAGAACUCCCUGUUACAAAGAAGCUUCAAUUCUGAUGAUGGACACCAAUGCCCCCUUUGCACCUCUGCAACUUGUACACCUCUGCACCUAUUCUCACCUCUGAGACCUUUAAAGCCUUCUAUGAACAGACUAACUAAAACAGAAAAUCUCAAGCAAAAACUAUGCUUACUUUUGGUUUACAAGGAAUGAAAUUUCUAGCACUAAAGAAUAUAAUAGAUAAGAAUAUAUAGUUGGAAUAAAACAAUUGAUAAGCUCUGAAAUAAUCUCUCAAUUUGAAUGCUCGUUCUCUGUUGUUUUUUUUAACAGCCGAAGAGAAUGAGUAUAUAUAACGAGAAUAUGCAAUGGCUAUAAAAUCUGUUAGCUAAGACAUCUCUGUCCCGUUGACAACCAACCAUGAUCUCAGCAGCUUUGAAUCACAAGCAGAUAUGCACCAGCUAUUAAGUUUUGAAGAGCUGAAAUCAAGGAGUGAAACUCUACCCACAAUCAACUGUGUUAAACCGGAACAAAAGGAGAUAAAUAAAGAUAAUACUCAAAAGCCUCAGUAGCACUCCUUUUUAAAAUAGACUACUAAAUAAUGUGGGCUCCACUAAGCAGGAUAACAUCUUUAAUUAAAUUAUCACCCACGAGAUACACUGAUGAAACAGAGGAGCCAAUUUGGGCUAGCAACAAAUCUUCCUUGAUAAUAUCAGUUAUUAUAAAUACCAACACCAUACCUUAAUAAACUCUAAUCCAAAACUUCCUCGAUAUCCUCCAAGACAAAUAGAUCAUGCAAUACCCAUAACUUAUGCAUAUCAAUUAUAAUAUUAUAACCCAUAAUCCAUGCAUAUUUAAUACCUUUUAUAAACCAUAAUCCAUGCAUAUUUAAUAAUAUAAUAACAAAUCAUGAACCAUGCACAUGUCUAAUAUACUGAAAUUAGUCAUCAUUCAAAACAUCAUAAAAUCAAAAACCAACAUUCUCCCCCUUUUUGAUGAUGACAAUUUAUGUACCAACAUGAAAAUUACUUUAUCCAAAUAACCAUCAUUGUAUAUUCCAAUAUAAUAUAGUAUCUCAAUAUCAACAUGAAUACCAAUUCAAACCAAUUUAAAUAUACCCAAAUAUCUCUCCCCCUUUGUCAUUAUCAAAAAGAAAUAAAUCAUCAAGUUAUAUCUCUCCCCCUUUGUCAUCAACAAAAAAUAAUUCAUAUCAAUUAUGUUGAAGAUAGUUAUCUCACCCCAUUUGCCAAAUUAAAAAAAUAAGCAUGAAGAAUGACAAUAGAACAAGGUUAUAACAAAAUCACAUAUAGCAAGUAAACAAUAUAAUCAUACCUUUGAAAUUUGUUACCUAUAUAUCAACCUUUAUCAAGAUUAUCAUGUGUAUUAAAUAUGGAGCAUUUGACAUAAUAAAUGAUGUUAUGAACCCUUGAAAUCCAUAGAGUUUUUUUUUAUUAUAAAAAUAUAUCUAAUUAAAACUCUAUUUAAAAAACAACAUGAGGUACUUACAGAUUCCACCAAAUAAUUUAUAGGUAACUUACUCUCUCAAAGUAAAGAAUCAUCCAUCUCCUUUUUGAUCUUGAGACACCUACAAACAAAUAGUCUCUAUCUUUUUGGUACCCAAAUCUUCUUGGGUCCUUUUGGGUUAGUAGCAUAUAAAUCACUUUUCUUUACCCAAAUUUGUUUUAUUCUAAUUUUAUUGCAAUUAGAAUCAAAAUGACCUUUAAAACCACAUUUUUUACAAGUAACAAAUGGUGAACAAUAAAGUGGUUUAUGCCUUGAUUUACUAUUAAUCAUUCUAAUAUUAUUAUUAGUCCUAUUUUCCACAUUUUUAAUAGGAUUAUACCCAAUCCCUUGUUUAUCAAGACUGGACCUUUGUGCCCCUAACAUAACAUUUAGGUUCUCUUCUCCUUGCACAAAUUUAGCAAGAUCAUUUUUUAAAGAUGUUAUUUCUGCAUUUGUUAUAUUAUUAUCAUGUUGAACAUUCUUCAUUUUUCCAUCAUUAAAAGCAUCUAUGCAUGCAUCUCUCAUUUUCAAAUUUUCUUUUAAAAUUUGAUUUUCCUUUUUAAGAUAUUCAUUUUCUUUUCUUUCUUCAAUAAGUGACUCAACUUCAUUCAUUAGCUCAUUUACGCAGUUCUUAAAAUAAGCAGUUUUCUUUUUAAGCCUUUGAUUUUCAUUUUGUAAAGCAAGAUAAUCAGAUGUAGAUAUUUCAAAAUUUUCAUGAAAAUUCGUUACCUCAAGUUGAUCAUCGUCUUCUAGUCCCAUGAAACAGAGUUGGACAGUUUCUUCUUCUUGUUCCGUUUUGUACUUACUCACUGGAGUUGAGCUACCUUUUUGAUUUUUCCUUUGUUUCUUCCUUUGAAGUAGUCUCUCGAGUUUUCUUGAGAGCAUUUCAAUUUCUUCAUCAAAAUCUUCAUCAUUUCCUUUUAUACAGCUUUCAGCUUGUAGAGCCAAAGUCUUCUUCUUAGGUGUCUCAUCUUCUUCAUCGUACAAUUUUAAUUGGUUUUCAAACUCUUCAAGUUCUCCAAAUAAGGUAAGAGUUUCCAUUGUGCUAAUAGUGACUGAGUCUUGAAGUGUAGUAACCUUUGGAGCGAAUCGCUUUGGCAUGACUCUGAGAAGUUUUCGGUUGAUUUCCUUUUGAUCAAUCUUUCGUCCGAGUAUGUUUAGAGAAUUCAUUAGAGUAAGGAAUCUUGCUUGGGCAUCUCUAAUUGAUUCAUUUUUCUCCAAUUUGAAUUGUUCAUAUUCGUGCAUUAACAUGCUCAGUUUGACCUCCUUCACUUUAGUUGUACCCUCGUGGCUCAUGAUGACUGUGUCCCAAAUUUCCUUAGCCGUAGUACAAGACGAGACUUUAUCUAUCUCUGACUGAACCAUGCCACUUAAAAGUGUAUUCAUGGCCUUGGAAUGAUAAGAUACCAUAUACAAUUCAUUUGAGUCCAUUUCCAUGAGAUUCUUUGGCUUGCCAUCAUCAUGUCGCGGAAUGACUAGUCCAUUUUCGACUACCCACUAUUCCCAUGGGUCACGGUUCAGAUAGAUCUUCAUUCUGAACUUCCAAAAAUUGAAGUUUUCACUUCCUAGCAACAGCGGUGGCCUACUUGUGGAUUGGCCUUCUUGAAAGUUUAGGUGUGCCAUAGAAUCUUCCCCUACGACCUGCAACGAUCAAUAUUAGUAGAGCCUUGCUUUGAUACAAAAUGUAAUUCUAUGUAUGUGCACACCUAGAGGGGGGGUGAAUAGGUGUUCAAGCUAAAAGUGAUAAACAGUGAAAACUUUUUCUAAUUUUCUGGUACAGGUUUAAUUCAGACAGUUGUGCCUGUCUGUUUUGGUGUCUAGAUUAGUGGCGUGAAUAACAAGAAGUGCAGAACGUGAAUGACAGUUAAAAAGAAAAACAGAAGUAAAAAUCACACCAAGAUUUUUACGUGGUUCAGCCCCUAUCCUCUAAUCUAGUGGCCUAAUCCACGUCCAAUCCCAACUAGAAUUGGAGACUCUUUUUAUUAAACUUAAUAUUUAAUUAAAUACAAUAAAAAGAACUUCCUGUUACAAAGAAGCUUCAAUUCUGAUGAUGGACACCAAUGCCCCCUUUGCACCUCUGCAACUUGUACACCUCUGCACCUAUUCUCACCUCUGAGACCUUUAAAGCCUUCUAUGAACAGACUAACUAAAACAGAAAAUCUCAAGCAAAAACUAUGCUUACUUUCGGUUUACAAGGAAUGAAAUUUUCAGCACUAAAGAAUAUAAUAGAUAAGAAUAUAUAGCUGGAAUAAAACAAUUGAUAAGCUCUGAAAUAAUCUCUCAAUUUGAAUGCCCGUUCUCUGUUGUUUUUUUUAACAGCCGAAGAGAAAGAGUAUAUAUAACGAGAAUGUGCAACGGCUAUAAAAUCUGUUAGCUAAGACAUCUUUGUCCCGUUGACAACCAACCAUGAUCUCAGCAGCUUUGAAUCACAAGCAGAUAUGCGCCAGCUAUUAAGUUUUGAAGAGCUGAAAUCAAGGAGUGAAACUCUACCCACAAUCAAUUGUGUUAAACCGGAACAAAAGGAGAUAAAUAAAGAUAAUACUUAAAAGCCUCAGUAGCACUCCUUUUUAAAAUAGACUACUAAAUAAUGUGGGCUCCACUAAGCAGGAUAACAUCCUUAAUUAAAUUAUCACCCAAGAGAUACACUGAUGAAACAGAGGAGCCAAUUUGGGCUAGCAACAAAUCUUCCUUGAUAAUAUCAGUUAUUAUAAAUACCAACACCAUACCUUAAUAAACUCUAAUCCAAAACUUCCUCGAUAUCCUCCAAGACAAAUAGAUCAUGCAAUACCCAUAACUUAUGCAUAUCAAUUAUAUUAUUAUAACCCAUAAUCCAUGCAUAUUUAAUACCUUUUAUAAACCAUAAUCCAUGCAUAUUUAAUAAUAUAAUAACAAAUCAUGAACCAUGCACAUGUCUAAUAUACUGAAAUUAGUCAUCAUUCAAAACAUCAUAAAAUAAAAAAUCAACAAUUCUCUGUAAUAUGUAUGGAACUCUACUAACCAAAAAAGUAAUGCUGAUGGUUGUGAUCAGAUCUUUCAAUUUUGCAAGCUGUCUUGAGAAUCUUAUGGCAUAACUCAAGAUAAAGUUCUGAUUUGCUUCAAUAGAUAAUAUAUUGCAGGACGAUGGAAAAAUGUCUAAACAGUGAAAACUUCUAAGCAAAAUAGAAAUUUAGAAAUGUGUAGCUCAUCGAGUACGUUGUUUAUAGUAUUACAUAUAGUAACACUCUCGAGUCAUAGAAACCAUUAGAUAUACAUAUAUACAAUUGUAUCAUGUUGGGGAAUCCACUUUAACCAUAUAAGGAAUUAGGUUAAAAAAAGAAAACCCCUUUACGAUAAAGGAGCAAGGUUCUUAUUCUCUAUAAAAAAUGACAACUGUAUCAAAGCCUAACUUCAAAAAUAGUAUCAAAGGGAUAUUAUUGUUAUCUAACCAUACCUUUUUCGAUUUGCCAAGGAGAUUUGUACGAUCACAUAAGUAAUAGUAGAUCAAAAGGACACCAAAUUCUGAUCUACAAAAAUGGGAUGAAAGAAAGAAGAGAGUCAGUGAGAGUAUUGAACAUCCUUAAUCACAUAUAUGAAGAAAAUUAGUUAUUUAUCACAGUAGAGUGAAAAUGAGUAUACAUACAUAGCUCUUAGUGUCAUUCGAUUUUCAAGUAAAAAAGAUUCUUCCAUUAGAAAAAACUUAAAAUUAGACAGAAUGAAUGCACAUGUCAAGUUGUAUAGUUAAAAUUUCUAAUUGAAAUAAAUGAAAAAGGCAGAAAUUUUACACUAAUAACGAUCAUUAUAUCCAAAUAAUUUCAGGAGAUGUAAUACUAAAAUAAUCAGGGUUUACACUAAUAAUGAGCAGCAAAAAUAUAAUAGCUAGAAGAUGUCAAGCCUUUCUACAUUAAAUUAUGAAAAACUUCCUUGAAAACUACAUUCUUUGUAGUAUUGUAUGUUUUUCCAUCCUUGUCACAAAUUAAUAUUUUCAUUCCACUCUUGCUUGUAACUCUUGAUACUGCUACAUACAAUUGGCCAUGGCUAAAAACUGGACGUGACAGAUACAGUUCAACAUGUGAGAGAGAUUGCCCCUGACUCAUAUUAAUUGUCAUGGAAAAGCAAACAACCAAAGGAAAUUGUCUUCGUUGGAAUUUAAAAGGUAAUCUAAUGUUUGAAGGUGUUAAGACCAAUCGAGGUAUGAAAACCCUGUGCCCAAAAUUGCCGACUGAAAUUACUCUUGCUUCUAUCACAUGUUUUUACAAUUGAGUUACUAUUAAUCUCGUGCCAUUGCACAAACCAGAACACUGAUCUAUAUUUCGGAGCAACAUUACAGGAACCCCAAUCUUCAACGUUAGCUUGUGGUUGGGCAUUCCAGAAGAUGUAAUGCUAUUCAAAAAUUCUGGUGUGUAAACGCCUUCACAGCCGUUUGAGUUUUCAUCAACCUUACAUACACUGUCCGAGCUUAGAUAUGUUACUUCAUCACCUGGCCAUAAAGACAUCACAUAUUCGUUCACCUUAUUUACAGCAUCAAGUGUAGUAGCAAGGAUGGCUCGGCCUUGGAAAUAAAAGUCAUCGUCAAAAUUUUCCAAUAAAUUAGGAUAUGUGCUAUCAACAAUUACUGCAAAGGGAUUGAUUGGAUCUUUUAUAAGAAUAUCAUCAGGGAUUUCUACAUCUGCUUCACCAUCAUUAGGUCCACCAAUUUUGCCAUCUCCAACAUUCAAUAUCCAAUCAGAAAAUUCUCUCAAAUCCUCUAUAUCAGAAUUUGAAUUUUGAGAUUGAAGUCUCAUGUUCUUUGUUAAAGUUAAAACCUUGCAAAAACUCUACAAAUAUGAUGAAUUCAGAGUUGCUAAAAUGACGUCUUGUCUACUGGCCUUGGGAAUAACAGGUAAUAUCUGUCUAAAAUCUCCACCAAAUACAAUUACUUUUCCACCCAAUGGUUGAUCUAUACUAUUCGACUUACUAAAUCUUAGGACAUCUCUUAAUGUUUUAUCCAAAGCUUCAAAACAAUGUUUAUGUACCAUUGGAGCUUCAUCCCAUAUAAUAAGUCGAGUUUUUCUAAGCAACUCAGCCAAUUGACUUCCCUAUUUAAUGAUUAAACUGAGGUAAGAAAAGAAAAAAUAGAUCCCCUACAUAUAUUAUCUUAAGCAUUCAAAAACACGAUAAAUUCAACUUCAGUAAAUCAUAGUGAAUCCAAGCCUUAAUUUCACCGAUCAUUAAUUUCAACUUAGGUACGUGACAUAAUUCUCCAACCAUACAAUACAGAGAAGAAUAUAAGAGACCCAAUACCACCAACUCACAGAUCCUAAAAGGCAAUGCUACAGUAGUUUAACAAACACAAGAUCUUAUUGAAUUCAGAAUGAAAAAGUUGAUGUUAGUGCUUUUUAAAAGUUGUUGUGCGUUAUGUUUCUCUAUAAAUCUUUAAUUAUUGCCAAUAAAAAAAUUAAAUUUUUUAUUUCAUAUAAUAUACUGACAUUUAAAAGUUCCACAGAAUUUAAAAAAGAAUAAUCAUGAGAUUGAUGCAGCUCAUUAUUGAACCAAAUUAUUAAAAAAGAAUAAUCAUGAGCUUGAUGCAGGUACCGGAUCCAAUUGAUGGCACUUGAGGGUUACUAAAGGGUUUCUCUCUUUUUCCUUUUUAUUUAUUUUAUUGAUUUGGAUUACAAAGGAUGAUUUAAUGAUAUGCAAAAAAGGCCACACAUUCAUCCAAAAAGUUUCUACAAACAAUACUUUAUAUAAUACAUGUAAUACCAACCCAUGAGAACAACUACUUUUCAAUCCAAACAUAGCAGCUAAUACCCAUAUGAGAAAAAGGCAAAGUAGCAUCAAAUGUUGAUAAUAAUUUCAUAUAUUAAGCAAGUUCCAUAAAGUAUUCAUCAAGGAAAUCAAUGCUCAAACCUUCUUGAACUGCUGCAAAUCAGCCACAAGAAAAGGCCACACAUUCCUAUACAAACAAUACAUUAUAUAAUAUAUGAUUUUAAUUGUUAGAAUACUUGUAUGGUUUAAUGAUCCUUCUGUUCAUUGUCUCUCAGAUUUCUAUCUUUUUACUAAAUAUACACAUUAUAUUAAAAAUAUCUCAAAGAACUAUUUGUGCAUCUACUUUUUAUGUAGAUGGUCCACAAAGAUAUUUCAAAUUGAAGUAAAUUGUUUAUGUUUUUAAUAACAACAAAAGUUUUAAGAACAAUACUACAUGCGUACACAAAAAGUAAGUUGUGCACAAAUAGUAGAACAUAUGUAUUGCUUACCAAUAAAAAUGUUUAAAUCAUCUGAUCAAGAUCAUGUUUAUCAAUUACAAUUUAUGAUCAUUGUAUUGGUUAUAAAUAUUGUAAACCAUCAAAAAAUAUUAGUCAUUAAAAAUUUCAAAUUGAAGUAAAUGCAUGUUUAUGAAUAACAAUCUAUGGGCUGCGGAAGUGUUUGGCAUCACCACAUCCCAUAAUAGAAGAAGGCACUUUUCCCACUCUAUCAAUUCCUUCCUCAAACACUACUCCCAUUCCCAAGAAGAAAUGAGACUCUAUAUGGCAGUGGAAUGCCCAAGUACCAGGAUUAUCCUCCCGGAACCUCAAAGCAGUCCAGCCAUAAGGAUGAACCGGCACUGUAUUCUUCAUAAUUGGAUUCACCAAAUUGUAACUUUGCGGAUCACUAGACUUGUUAAACUUGCCAAUGCCAUACCCCAAUACCCAAAAAUCAUGCCCAUGGAGAUGCCAGGGAUGCGUCUCGCUAUUGUUCGGGUUCAUCGUGUUGGCAUUUUGAAGAAUAACAUCCACUGUGUUGUUGAACUGCAACCUAUAAACCGAGUUGCUAGUAGUAGUGGCAUUCACAUUUUUCGCCACGCUGAAAAUGUCGUAGUUUGUAGAGUCAUAAUUAUCCGGCGGAGGCGUUUGCUGGAGUAAUUUUUCUUCCUUAAGCGCGAUUAGAUAAGGCGUGUGAGGGAGGUUAAAUGAGACAUUAUUUACGGACCAACGAACAUAUCCAUUCACUCUAUUUUGAGUGUUGAGCAACACAAUCACUCUGUCUGAAGUUUUAGGGGGAGGGUGGAUGAAUCCUUGGUGCGACUUAAUUGCCAGGCUUUGAUUUAGUCUUGGGGCGACGUGGUUCCAAAUAGGACCUGCAGGUGGAACUGUUGGAGGGGAUUUUUUAGGAUGGUUGGGAUAGUAAUUGAAGAUGGCCAAGGCAUUUGGAGUUGUACUAUUUCUGCUAACAACUUUUGAAAUAGACCAAUAAUUUCUUGAAGGGUCUGAUCAGCUUUGAUUAGGACUGAAUACGUUUCACCCGAGUAAAUAAAUAGAUUUUUUACCACAAAUGGCUCCACGUAGUGGCCAUCCGCUUCCACAACAGUCAUAUUAUGCCCCUGCAUUUUUAAGAAAAUAAUGUUUAUUGUUCAUUUGAAUAUUGUUUGUUUACAAGCAGUAUAUUACUAUAAACUUAUUUAACUCAUAAACUUACGUACUACAACCACAAGUAACCGAACAUACCCCAUAGUCAGAAAAAUAAAAAAGUGUACCUCUAUUUCGAAACUUAAAGCUGACAGAGAAGUUAAGCUUCCGAUUCUUAACCGAUAUGUUUUUCCCGGAACCACGGUGAGAACAUAGGGCGAACAUUGAGGAUUAGUAGCAUUACAAACACCAUUCCCAACACUCGGUGAGCUGCAGUUGAACCUUCCUUUCCCUUGUAUAAGAAGUGACUGAAAUGGUCAUAAACCAAAAUUAAGACCAUGAUAUUUAUGUAGCAUAAAAGAAAAUUGGUAAUGCAUGUGAAUUUACCUGAGGCUCCCCAACCCAUACGAAGGGAAUUGAAGAAAGGCCCGUAGCUUGUUCGUAGGCGCUGUUGUGGUACCAAUCGUUAAGAAUAAUGCUUCGAUCCAAAUCAUAAGAAAAAGGCUCGACUUCCCCAUCCGGCAGAGCUACACGAAUUGAUCCGUAUAGGCCAGCUUCCCUUUGCAUACCAUAAUGUGCAUGAUACAAAUAUGUUCCAGCCUAAAACAUAAAAAAAUGAAAUUUAAUUAACCCAAUAUGAAGUUGAGCUUGUUAGUUGUUACUAAAAAGUAAUCAAGACUAGUGAAACUUACCCUAUCUACCACAAACUGAUAUGUAAAGGUAUCCCCUGGCAAAAUUGGACAUUGACUCACCCCUUCUGUUCCAUCAGCCCAAGGUGUUCCAAUCUGUAAUAAUCAGACAAAUUAUGGAUCAUAAACAUACCCAAAUGACUGACGACAUGUUUAAAAUGCUUUUUCAAUUAUAAUCCAAAGCUUGGAGUACGUUUGGUCACCAAAUGCUAGAUAUUCAAUUCACCUGUCUGAUUCCAUGCCAAUGGAUAGCAACAUUUUCAGUUAACAAACUGUUCUUGAGCUCCACUAUGAUUGUAUCGCCUCGCUCUGCCCUUAUUGUCGGUCCUGGAGAUUUUCCAUUGACUGCAAUAACAAGUUUCUGGAAACAAUCCGGAGAUUUAUACUCAUAUUUUACAUCUGGCGAAGAAUCUCGGCUUAAGCGCACAUAGGGCAUUUGCCUUUGAUCCUAGCCGACGUUGGAACAGAUCCUUAAUGACUGGCGUAAAGGGCAACCUUCCCACGGUAUCUCUUGAUACCCUUACCCGACGUGCUUCUUUUCAUGUUAUUGCUCUUGCCGCGCUUAUUCUUCUGGCUCCCUAUGCUGUGUGUGGCCCCUUUUUGCUUGAAAGCGGUUCAAAAUGGUCAUACUAAAGGAACGGUGAAAGACCUAUUUGAGUGAUCUUUCUUCGAAUCUGCUUCUUCUGAGCCCAGCCACCUUUUGGCUCGCUCCGUAUACUCUACUCGUUCCCUUGGUUUCGUCCUCCCAUUCAUGCAUGAAGUAGAUCCACGAAAAGGACAUCUUCUAACUAGAUUUUUGUACCGGCGAACUCUAGCCUCUACACAAUGAAUAUUUGUUAUUAAAGAAACAAAUAGGAAUAGGGAUAAAGCUAGUAGCUUUAUCAAAAAUCCUCCUCUCAACUGCAAAAUCUCAGCCAUGGUCCUCCUAAUUAAACUUGAGAUAGCUAAAUCAUAAUAUAAUUACUAUAUGGUUGUUUUGGAAAGCUCCAUGUAUUUAUAUACCAACUGUAUUUUGACUAUGGAAGAUUAGUCAAUUGGAACGGCUAGUAACUUGUAAGCAUACUUCGUACUCGGUCUACUCCAAAAUUAAGAAAUAUUUUUUUAUAUUCAUUUUAAAGUUAAAAAUGGUAAAAAGGGAGGUGACUAGGAGAGGGCUAUUAGGAGAAGUAUAUAUAUAUGAACUUGUCUGAUAUUAACUAUCAGAAAAAUUAUAUGUUAAGAUUAGUACUUGUUACUAUAUCCUUAAAACAAUUAUAUCCUUUUUUUUGGUGCUUAGAGUUAUCAGCAUGUGUCUUCCAGAAUAUAAUGACAUGUGUUAUAACAAUACUACAAAUAACACACAACGAAUCAAAUAAAUGUUCUGGACUCUCUCAAAUAUACUAUGAAUAUGACUGAAGAAAUGAUGAAAAAUUGAAUUGAAUUGAAUGCCUCAAAUGAUUGCCUCCAUAUGAUAUUUAUAGGAGGAUUUAAUGACACUUCAGAUUGGACACGACUUUUGCGAACCGACUGAACACGAAUGGAAAAGAAUGGAUGAAAAGACAUGGCUGAACAGGUGCGUCCACAUGAGCAGAAACGCUUCAAAAGCAAUCAGCGCCGCGACUCUGGAUAGCAGCGUUGCGGCGCUAGACCAAUCCAGAGACUUAGAGUUGCGGUGUUGUGUCUAGGCAUUGCGGCACUAGAUUAGCCAGAAAGUUAGCGUUGCGGCGCUGAGUCCCAAAACGACACAGUUUCAUUCACUUAAUAAUAAAUAAAAUUAACCAAACUAAGCAAAACAAAAUUUAAAGAAAUUUUGUCCAAAAAGAAUGUAUACAACGAUCCACGAGCCCGAUCCAUCGACUGCAGCGCAUGUGAUAAACCUGAAACAAACCUUGGUUAGGUCUUCUCAAAGUGGGGUGCCCCUUAUGGCCCAAACCAAAGAGCAAACUUAUUGUAUAUAUAUAGAGAAUUGAUAUUUUCACAAGCUAAUUUGCUAUUUUUACAAAUAAGUCCUAUUUUUAACUAAAUCAACUUUUUGUGAAGUAGACUAACUAUAGGAUUUAAUUAUUUUUUUUAAAAUAUUAUUAUUAUCAUAAAGGGUACUCCAUCUAAGAUAUCAGUAUAUAUAUCAACGACUUUUAAUUUCUUGUAUUAAAAAAAAGGGCUAACAAUCCUCUCGAGCUUUGAACACAUCACAUGCCCCCAUAAAGUUAGUUUAUAAAUCUUGAAAAACUACCUAAAAUGGCAAGUUGGGGUUGGUAUGAAACCGCGUUAUUUAUUUUAUAAAAUCAUAUUUGCAUAGAAAUAGAAUAGGCUUAAAGUCAGAUUAGCUCCAUUCAACACAAGACUUUGAAAUGUAUAAUCUUGCAAAUGUGAUUUUACUUGAAAAAAUGUCUCAAUCUUUUGGUCGAUAGACUUUGUACAAGGCAUUUCGAUCACAUCACAUCCCCCUUGCCUUUAAAUUUCAUUAUAUAUCAUAUCAUGUAGGGAAAAAGUUGUGGCCUUGUGGGCCAUUUUUAAUAUGUUUAUCAUUAUGGUUGACUUUCUAACACAGAUUAGAUUGUACAAGAGAAAGGAAAAGAGUUUACAAAAUAUAUGUUUCUAUAUUAUAUUUCUCACAUUUAUUUAUAUGUAUGGUCUUAUAUUUAUUCAUAGGGCAGCAGCAUAGGUAGCUAACUAUAUAUGGAGGCAGGUUUAUGAAAAGUGUUAAAUUUAGAGGAGAUAAAAAAAACUUAAAUUAUUAUUUUAAAAAGAACUAAACACACAAUGUAUAAUGUAUUUAAACUCUCGUUUUUUAAUUUGUUAAAUUUUAGUCAUUCACUUCAGUUUUCAACCCAAAAAAUUCACACCUGCUGCGAACAGAUCCUGCAUCCGUCCCUGAACCAACAACUCAUGUUGGGAGGAGCCAAAUAUUUACGGAAAAAAUAUAUUAUUAAUUAAAUAAUUAAUUAUUUUUAUAAAUAUACAAAAAUAGAAAAUUUUGUUUUAGUAAAAAUGUUAUACAUAUAUACACACACAUACAUAUUGAUUGUUGAAAAUUUCAUCUAUUUUAAAACAGAGGUAUAUUAAGAUAUUUUCAAAUAUAAAGCUAAAAUAAAUUCAAUUAAUUUUAGACAAAUAAUUAAAAAAAUUGUAAACUAAUUAAAAAUAUUACUAAUUAUAAAAUUUAUUAUUUGUAAAAGUUAAAAAUUUAAAACAAUCACAAAUUUAAUAAGCAUAAAUCAAAUUAAUAUUAUAUUUUAAAACAAAUAUUAUAAUAUAUCAAUUAAUUUUAAUAAGAUUAUGAGUUAAAUUAAUAAAAGCUUAGAGGUAUAAAUAAAACGGAUCUGGUUAGCUUGAAGUUUAAUUUUUAGUAAGUUGGUCAAUUGACCAAUAGAAUACUGACACACAUAGAACUUCGCCUGCGUGUCAGCAUUCUAUUAACCAAUUAACUAAAUUAUUCAAAAAUAAACUUUAUAUUAACCACUUCCAAAUAAAACUAUAGAAAAACAGAACCGGGUCAUGGCGGGCCCCGUCCAUGCCUUAGGUCACUAGUGAUGCGUCAUAAAGAAUAUAUAGACAAGUAUUAAACCCAUGUGGAACCUUAAAAAAAUGGAAUAUAUUGAUAAUGAGUCCUUCUACAGGUACAGUUUUUUGGGAUUGGAAAAUUGGAUUGGUCCAAUUUUUAUUAUUUUUUAUUUUUAUUUUGACUCACAAAAAAUUUAUAAUAUUUAUUUUAACUUUAAUUUUUACAGAAUUUAAUAAUUUAAAUAUAAUUUGGAUACAUAUAAAAAACAGGAUUAUACAGUAUGUGCAACCCUAUUUUUUAUAUGUAUCAAAAUUAUACCUAAAUUACUAAAUUCUAUAAAAAUUUGAGUUAAAACAAAUAUUAUAAAUUUUUAGAGAGUCAAAAAAAAAAAAAAAUCGGAUCAGUCCAAUUUUCCAAUCCCAAAAAUCUGUCCGUCUAGACUUUUUUAUUGAUAAUAUACAUCUUCAUACCUCCCGUGACGAGGUUUCAGAAGAUGGGGAAUUUUAUAAAUCAACAUGUCAGAAUCCAUAUCCCUUAUUUCACCAACAGAGGAUUUCAGGUUUCUAGUUGUUUUUAAAACAAUCUACCUAUCAACAUCUAGCUCUACAAAAUGUUAGGGAAACUCAUUGAGAAUAUAUAUAUAUAUAUAUAUAUAUAUAUAUAUAGAUAUAUGGGAAACGAUCUGUGGACAAUGUUAGCUGAGAACCCGUGGACAACUAACGCUCAUCCAGCCGUUCAAAAUUAGAGUUAAUGGCUGAGAUGAGCUCCCAGCCGCUAGAGGGAGUAGCGGCCAACAAUAAUUUUAAAAUUCCUCUUUUCUGGCCGCUAGAGGGAGUAGCGGCCAGGAAAGAGGAAUUUUAAAAUCAGGGCAUUAAGGGAAUUUGGCCAAGCCGUUAGUGGGACUAGCGGCCAAAUUCACCUUAUUAGAUCUAACAUUUUACUCCAUUCUCAUCCAAAUGCUUAACAUCUGCAGAAAUAUAGCUUCGUAAAGAAUCUGCUAAAUCUGAAAUCAUUGGUUUGUGCGAGAAAUUAUUGGUAAGUCAUGAAAUCCAUAAAUGUAUGUAUCCAUAUAUAACACAAGGUUUUAAAAAAAAUGUACAUACAUACAUGGUGACUUAAAAUUCACGGUUAUUACAGAGGGGGGCAAGAACCAUGCUUUCAGAGAAGUGGCGGUCCGAAUCUUAUCUGAACUGCGAGAAUAACUGACUAAGUCGUGCCAUAAGGGGUCAUUCUCCAAACGGGACGGGGCCAAACCUUUAGGUUGUUUAAGUAGGUUGGGUGACAGAUCGGCCAUAGGAGUACUCCGGGAUAUAAACUAGGGCAACAAAAGUGGUGCAUACGACGAUGCCGCCCGUUUUCAUUUCGUGGAAGUCCCCAGCAGAGGAAAGGGCUGUAGGUGAUGGCGCAUUAUGCUUCUUAUCUAGAGAGGGGCGCUGAAAUCUGGGUCGUGCGUGGCAGCUGGUAUAGAUAAAUAAAGGCGGACCGCUUGAACGGGACCUAUUCUCUUAAUAGGCGGCAAAACUGAAUAGGAAAGGGGCCGAGCUGACUGAUGAAUGCCUUUUUCACCUUUUUAUAAAGGCUCUCAUGUGGAGCUAACAUGGCUGGCUACAUACAAGUAUAGCCAAAUCAAGAUGAGAUGAGACGGACGGUCAGAGGCCGCAGCGGGACUACCAUAGGAAAGACCGCCCCCGCAAGCUAAUAUAGAAAGAGAUUCCCGGAUAGUAGUAGUCUCAAUGUGAAUCUCUUCCCGACCGGGCCAGGCCGAAUCGGGCCACCACUUGGGAUGGGAAUGGCUCAGCCCAUAUGCAUCAUUUGAUGAAAGCACUCCAGUCGCCUCCUCGAAGUGGUUUGUCAACCACGCUUCCCUCCCUCAAAACAAUGCUCUGAACACGAAUGAAAGUGUGCAGUUCCACCCCCUUCUCCCAUGCUGAGUCACCGGCAGCGCCUCAGAAAGUACGGACGAGCCACAUGCAGGGAAACUUGCACGUGUGGUUCUGGCCGGGGACCCCGGUAUACUGUACUAAUAUGUGUAGGUCCCCGUAAUUCGAGUGAGAUUGUCAUGGCGCAAAAGCAGAUAGGUCCGGUAUUCCCUUGUUCCCUGUAUUGGUUAUGUUCUUUAUUUCUCGUCUAGCAGAAACUAAUCGAGCUCCGUUUGAUCUCCCAAAAGCGGAAGCUGAAUCAGUUGUAGGCUAUAAUGUAGAAUAUGCAUGGGAUGCGAUCCUUAAUAGUUCACUAUUGGCGAAAGCCAAUGUCCCUGGGUCCCGGGGACUCAUUCUGACUGAAACAAAGGGCGGGUCUUUACCAACUUCAACAUCUUAUAUUUUAGGGAAGCCAAAAAAUGUGAGCGCCUAGCGCGAGCCUUAUUGAAAAGGCCCUUUACUAAUAUAAUAGAAGGUAAGGCCAGCUUUCGAGCUGUAGCUUUACAACGAUAGGGCUUAGAUAAGGGCCCUUCAUUUUUAUUAGUAAGAUAGGUUGCUUGAGCGCAUUAUCCCCCCUUCUAUUUGUAAGGUUGUCAAAAGGUAUCGAUCAAGGCGAGACUUUAGUUUUCAAUAAGGGGCAACAAGCAACAGAUUGAGCUGCGCGAAAGCCGUUGCUCUAAUGCCUCGUUACGUAUACUGAACUCGCUCGUUAGCCCUUGACUAAUAGAAAGCAAAGGGCUUUUCUUGCUUGUUUAGUAAAGUCUCUCUUUUUGAUAGGAGUAGGUGCUUGCUAGGGUGGAGCACUCUUCAUUCGAAACGAAUGAAUAUAGGGUUGGGGGUUUCUGCCUUGUUAUCAAAAAGGGGGUUGGGUAAAGCAAACUCCCUCCUUGAACGAGCACGGGGUUAGUCAAGUAGAACCGGGUUGCGCUGCUUGAUGCUCCGAUCGAAAACAAAUAAGUGGGGCCAUGCCGGUACGACUGAAUAUGCGUUAGAAAGGUCAAUCCCUCCCCUACGACACCAAAAAUCGGGCCGAACUUCCGCCCGCUUCCAUAGAACAAUAUCAUGGUAACGUAGACCUAAGUGGUCAUAUUGGAUCCUUGGGAACCAUCACAAGUAGGAACCUGCCUAUAUUUGAACGAGAAUGCCGUGUCGUCCAGCGGAGCCUAGAAGAAGGUGACUCGCGCAGACAGCUGACUCCUUUUCAAUAGAAAAGAAUAGCCAAACCAACCCAGCUGGCUGAUCAAUCUCGGAAAUCUUAUCGGCCGGCAAACCAGAGACGGACGACCACGGUCCCGACUUUACCAGCACCUGAGGUGUACUAAUCAAUGAACCCCCAAAACCUACUUUCUUUUCUGACAAAAUAAACCAAGCCUAACUGGUCACGACAUGUUGUUGAUAUUGAUUGAGUUGGAGGGACUUUCGCUAACUGAAUCCAUCCGACCCCGGUAACCUUCGUAACCAAAGCGUCACGACAACAUUAAAAGGUAACCUUUGGAUUCUUAAGUGGGGGGCAAGGAGGAGCACGUAGGAAUGCCGACCACUACAUAAGCCACUAGUGGCUGAGAGAAAGCGAGCAGCAUCUUGUAUAGGUUGGGCGGAGCUUGAAGAAGCGAGCCCCUAUCAGAGAAUACCAUUGCGCGCUAGCCUAGCUAGCUAACAUUUUUCAGCUGGCUGUUAUGUUAAUUGUAGCGCGCCUUCCCUCCUUCUCUCACUUCGGAAAGAUUUAGCAGUAUUUUCUUAUGAUGACCUGGUCAAGAGAGUACGAUACAUCGGUGUAAAAGAUUGAGUUGGAAUUCACUUGACCUUCUAUCCGGAUCCGCAAAUUUCUUCAUUCUUUUUGCGGGUAACAACGGGAUAAAUCAACAUUUCUUCGCCACUAUUGCGAGAAAUUGUGGGCACGAGGAGACCUCUUGCAAGAAUAAGGGCUUUUUUUCGGUAUACCGCUCCGCUAGCAAGGAGCGCCACACGCACAAGCAAAGCAAAUGGAACUCAAACCUCAUAUGAUGAAUAUGUUUCGACUGUUAUCUACUAGUCUUUCCUAUAUUGAAAUACGAUUCUUCAUUCGCUUGCUACUCCUAUCUACUCUGUUUUUUCUUUUAUGGAUUCUUUGGUUGAAGAUGGGUUGGAUUUACUAUUUGCUGGUCCUACUUUCAAAGGUUGGCUUCCUUCUAGGGGCUCGCACCCUAUCUUUUUUUGUUAUUAAAGCUAGGCUGCUCAGGACGUCUGGCCUUGGCCAUUGUCUUUGCUGUGAAAGCUCUUCUCACUUCGGGGGUCGAACCAAAUAUGAUGAAUCCUUCGGAUGACUCAUCGUCUGCGCCUUCUGCCUUGGAAGAACGAACAAAUGAGCUCAUUCAGGAGAAUUUAAAAGAUCAAAAAGGAGAUCUCGGAGAUGGACAAAGGGUUUCCGAAGUUCGUCAAGGAGUGGAACAUGACUUAAACGUAGAAUAAAAAGAGAGAAGAGAAUUGAAUAGAAGGGGGAGGAUAAAGAGGCAUUAGCAUUAGAGCAGAAAGAGAGUUCAAAGAAGUAGGAUGCUAGCCAAUGCGUUCAACAGGGGUUUACCCAUUGAUCUUAGAGCUAGCUGCCUGACCUCGGCCUUUGCAACCGCUAGAAUGUGGCACGCCUAUGCCUAUGGAUAUCAGAUUUACAUUUGACUGAGCUUUCUUUGAGGUCCUAAUCCCUUUCUUUUCUUCCAAAAUAGAGAAAACCCAGUACCCCGAUCUAGGCUUCCAAACAACUCUUCCCGAAUACACAUAUCAUAACGAAUGGCAGAAAGAGAAGGCGAAAGGGCUCGCCCUCCAAUCAAAGGGCGAAGUGAGAGCUAUGGCUGGUAUAAUGGGUUCAGCGGGCGACUUUUAGUCUAAAUCUCUCAUGGCCGAGUACAGCUUCAGACAGCUCACUGGCUAAAUCGUAUAAGAGGGCAUUCCGAGGAAUAACUCCUGUCGAGAAUAAAUAUUACUUGCUUUGGGACUUCGAUUGUCUACCUAUCGCUUAAGACAGAAUUGGAGGAUGUCAGCCCCUACCUGUUAAGUAAGGCGAGAGUCAAGCCUUUCCUUUCGCUCCUUCCCCUAGAUCAGUCUGUUGCUACUUGCGGUUAUAAAGAAAGGGUUAUUGGCUUUAGGCUGCAACCACGAAGGCUGGGGAUUGACAAACAACAGCUCCAGCAGCUAGAUCUUAAAGAUGGAAGGACAGAACCACUGAAUGCAACUAUAGGGGGCAUCCCUAGCCGCCUUACGGGAGGAAGAGAAGUUAGGGCUUCGAGGAAGACUUGCAGAUAAAAUAGAAGAGAAAAAGGUACUACCUCUCUAUAGGGAAUAGGAAAGAAGGUUACUUUUUAUUAUAUUUCACGAUCAGGUCCCGCUACCAAAGGCGGCUCGGACAGUCAUUGCCGAAAGCAGCACAUUCCUUUUUUCUUUUUUUUGCCCCUGUCCAGUUCAAGAACGGGGGCACCGGGCGGACGAAGAACAACUUGGGCAAAACGCACUUUCUUCAUUUACUUCAGCAACCCUUGCUCGACUAUUGGACAUGGAAAUGAACAACCUCGCAGAGAAUUCCCUUCUUACUCAUCCACACAUGCCCAGUUAAUGCACCCAACAUCAGGGAGAUACAUGAUUUCUCAUAGGAUGUACACCUUUCAACAAUGCACACUCGACGGACUUUUUUGAUAGAACUUUCGCAAACCCUCGGCGAAAGAACUUAUUGGCCCGCGGACAUGACACUGACAAAACUACCCCCUUCAAUAAAAGGAUUGACGGCUUGAAUAUCUACGGGCCUAUCUUCUUUCAAUUCGAUUUGACUCGAACGUCCCUCAACUACCGAUUUUUCUUCUGAAAUUUCUAGUUACCUUAAAGUCUCACUUCUUUUUUCUCUUUAUUAGUUAGAAAUACAUGUUAGAACCAAACCAGGAACUACAAAUAGACCAGGGAUGACAAGAAACGGUGUUCAGAAACAGGCUUCACAUCCUAUUCCAUGGUCUCAAUAGUCUCGCAGAUGAGACCUUCCCUUGCACACGACGAGCAGGGGUUGAAAGCAAAGAAACUCUUCAAUGACUAGCCAUCUCGAACAUUUACCCAAGGAAAGAUGGAGCAGCCCGUUCUGGAAAGCUAGCUUCAUCACGAGUAGCUUCACCACUGCAAAUAGAAUAAGCCGCGGGCCUUCCUUUUAUAGAAGGGCUUUGGCUUCUGCCAAUGCUGCUAGAGGGUGUCUUUGUUUAUGUAACUUCCAUCUUAUACCGAAGUACUGAUACAAGCUCAGUCCCAAAACCUUAUUUGGCCUUUGAGUCCUUCUCGUGCCCCGAACCCCCAGGGGAAAAGGCAUAAGCGGGAAUCAGUGGAAAGAAAGAAUAUGUAGUUGUCGGAGAUGCUUUGUUGUGCUUCUCUGAUUGGGAAUUUGCGGAUUGGGAAAGAGAUCUGAGAGUUCUGACUUCGAUAGGUCCUAAUUCCACCAAAGCAGGCUUGGCAUGACGCCCAUUGUCACUUCCUUUUCAGUUUAUGCGCAAGGAUUUUCCCUUUCAAAAGAAUCCGACGCGGAAAGGGUCACUCAAGCAAAAGAAAGGCCCACAGCCUAUUCGAAAUCAAAAGAAGCUGACGAUGGAAAUUCAUGUAGAGCAGAUAGAUUCUCCUUAAGAAAGCUUUCCCAAUAGGCGCAUCUCUUCCUUAACUCUUGUUGAGUAAGAAGUUCUUGUGCCUCUCUAGCCUUUAGCACAGCACUAGGAAUUGUCUAAUCUAAGGGUCUACCCGCUUUGAAUCUCUUGGAGUAAGGGCAUUAGGUCUUGUAUCUCUUGAUGGCGGUGUGAUCGUAUCUGCUCUUGAAUAAGAAUUGCUUCAGUAAGCCAAUCACGCACUCUUCCGCGUCCUUAUUUGCCUGAAAGCGAUUCCAGGAAAGCCUAGCAUAGAGCUUUCUUGUGAUGAAAUCGCUUACCCUCAUUUCUCUUGGUAUACCUACCUGUGUGCCUCCGAAUACCAUGAAGUCCUUGGAGCAUGUGCGAUUUCUUCAGGAUCCUUGUCAAGAAAGAAGAAGGGAACGACAAUUGUCUGCUAAUCGAAGAUAAGAAUGGAAAGAGAGAGCCAAAGCAGUAACUUAGAGACUAGCGUACGAUUUCUUGUAAGUCUCAGGUUAGCAUCCUAGCCCAAAGAAUCCCAUCAUGGGUGAAAGCACAAUUACAACUGUCCAAUCUCGUGCUGUAAGGGGUUCACAGUACUUGCUUUAUUCCUUUCUUUCUAACUUUCCUGAGCGAGGGAAGGGAGAGGGUAAAUUGUUUCCUUCUUUUAUUUCGUGCUUGCUUAUGGCAGGCCCUUACUGAACUGAGGGGUGGUAUUCGCGCAAGAGGGCUUCUUCUUUCGCCGCUUCCGCUCCUUCUUUAUGGAUAUAAGGAAAGUAAGCUCUCCCCCUUCUCUCUUUAUAUUAGAGAGCUUCCUCUGUUUUCCUUACAUCAAGCGCAAAUCGGACAUUGAAGGCUAGAGAGGAGGGUAUGAUUCUUGCUCAAGCCUAAAGUUCUCAUUCCUGCUUUCAGUCAAGUCUGAGUUCAGUUCCUAUUGAGCAAUUAGUGUCAUUCUUUUAAAAAUGAAUAUCAGAUGUCCAAAUUGAUAGAUUCUUUCACAGCAAAUUAAAUACCUCUAGUAGUUCCUUCUAUGACAUCGAUUUCAAUUCCGUAUGCAUCCUAUUCUUGUCAUGUCCCUUAUACGAGACUAGUGCUAUAAGUUCCCUCCUUUCCUUCUCUAGCCUCUUCCCCAGCUUAGAAGUUCAGUUCUUCCUUCCCUUAGCUUACUGUCUUUCCUGAUGGUGAAUAGCUGCUCUUUGAUUUGAUAGAGGAAGUGACAUCUAAGGGGAAAUAAGAGAUGGCAUCUAAAAGGAGAAGGCAAAGGGACUAAGAAAGAGUGUCUCAAGAAGGGGCUUUGAGGGAUGACUGAUUUACCAUACUUUCCUUCGACGCAGGAAGCAUCGAAUUGCAUUAGUGGGAUAGCUUACUUCAUUCAGUACUCCCCCAAGCCAGGAAAGCUAGUGCUCGUGAAUGCGCUCCUCAUUUAGCCCUGUGACUCGUAAAGGAAGCCAUAGGCUUCGGAGCUGGGCUUGGAAAAAUCCCGAUAGCCUCUUCCUGAACGCUCCAUUCUCGGUCAAGCCGCGUGAAGGGCUUCUGAUAAUAAUGUAAAUAGAGCUCGUUCCGCUACUCGCGCUAAUCCAUGAUCUAAUGUUCUCGCUUGGGAUGGGAAACGAGGGAAUUUGGAUAGCAAGGAUGGGCUAGUUUCCUCCUCUCGCUAUGGUCUACAUCUAUAUGUGGCUCCUCCCGCUGUGCUCGAGUCACUUGACGCUCCUUUCGCGGUGUUAGAUGUCAGAGUGGUCCUGAGGCUCAUCCCUCGAUGUGAAUUGACCCUUUGCCUUUGAUUCAUCAUCUUAGUAGUUUUGCCUUGAACCUGCCGAUGCAAACUGAGAUUCAGAAUCUGACCUUGCAACUAAGCGAGGGCUGAGGUAACGAGUGAAAUCUCUCGACUAAAAGGAAAGGAGAUGAAGAAGAAUUAGAUCCGCAAGAAAGAGAGAUCAAGAUGUAGAACAAAUAAAAUCGCUUUACUCACGGCAUUGCCAUUCCUCUUGGGGAACUAUACCCCACUCCUGAGCCAGGAUCAAACCCUCUUUUUUGAGGAAGAUUUAUAGCUCUUUGUCACCCUGGUUACGAGCCAACGGUAGAGCAAAUUCCUCAGCUUCCACAUAUGUCAAAGAAUGCAUUGAUUUCGCAUUUGUCGACCAGUGGAUCGAAGAGGAACUAUGUGUGCCCGAUUGACAAGAACCAAUAUCCGCUAAGGAAGAUUUAUACCUGCUGUGUGCCAUGACUCCUCGAGGGCUAGGAUGUCUUGAAAUGAUCCCUUUUGGGACUUCAAAAUGGAUACAAAAAUCUCGUUUUUCAAAUUAGUUUAUUGCGUUGCGCUUUAGCUCAAAAAAGCUCACUGGAUAAAUGGAGGAAAUGGGGCGCAUUCGGCUCUACCUCUCGCGACAACCCAUCGUCGUGGUCGAACGUGGAACAUCAAUGAAGAACUUCUUAGAACGACCACUAGGGGUGUUCUAUAAUAGCUAUAUAUUGCGUAUAGAUAAUAGAAUCUAUACUAUAUAUGUAAUUUUUUGUAGCUGUGAUACCCGAAACUCAGGUUUUUCUUAAGACAAAAUGGCCACAGAACGCGUAUCCGAACUCGUGUACUAAUAAAAGGUUAGAAAGGGUGCUGGGCCUUGCCCUCAAUUAUGAGGAUCAACCAUGUUCUUUGUUGGGCGAGCACGCAGAGAGAGAUGCUCUUGACUCUUCUUAUCUUCGAGAGAAUGGGCCCUUUGACCCUCUUAUUCGCCUUCCAAUUGUGUAGAUAUUGAACCCUAUUUAGAAAGCAGAAAACAAGUGGAGAAUUCGUACGUUUAGAAAAGCUAGGAUGAAUUUCUUUAUCUUUCUUCUCUCUUUACAGAAUUGUGAAGCUGGCGAAGAAGGUAGAUAGUUCGACCUUUUCGUCUAUUAUAUUAUGUCUCCUUGUCUUUCCGUGGAUGACAUGGAGCAGUAUCUAGAUGACCUCAUUGAGAAGUUGCCAGUUCUCUGUGAGCGUUAUCUGGGAACCAUCUCUUCCAUUCCCCUUGAACAAAGGAUUAGAUGGGAUCCUACAUGGAAAUCCUUCCCCAGUGCGCAUUUUCUUUUGUCAACAAGUUCUUUGGAAAGAAACUCCGUAGUAUCCUUCCUUGCGCUUUAUUUGAGUUGGCUGUGUACGGUUAUUUAUCUACUCUAACCUGGAUGAGUUCGAUAGACUUCACACAGGAAGUGCUUUGGCCUUUCAGAGUCCGUUACGCCUUUGAUGAGAAUAAGAGUCCUCUGACGUCAGAGGACAUUGACGAGUAUGAGGACAAUGUCUCGGCCCGCAUGAUGAGUCUUGAAGACCUUCCAGAGUGUGGGUUAGAUCUCGAUGGAUGACUGUGUGCUACCGUGGAAGGAGGAGGCAAGCGGCGCAUCUUUGCCAUUGGAAAUUCUGUUAACCAAAGGUUUCUGAGGCCAGUCCAUGUAUGGCUGAUGAAGGUCCUCAAAAUAAUCCCGAUAGGUGGCACAUUCCAUCAGGAGCGUCCAUUGGUUAACCUGAUAGGUCAGAAUCACCUUUUUUAUUUUGAUUUGAAGUCGGAUACGAUAUUUCUCUCUUUUUACACUAUAUAUGAUAUUAUCGUAACUAUACUAAUAUAGACUAUAUAUAUACUAGACUACUUAUUUACUAGGAAAGAGGCCGAGCGCCAAGGCGGUUGCGGAUUAUGAUUGCCCGAUGGAAGUCCGGGUUUUCGUUAGCCCAUUUUUGUUGUCGGCUAGUAGGUUAGGUGUCAGAGAUUGGGCAUGGGGAUAGAGCCAGAGUAGUAGGGAUGAGGAAAGACCCCAAACGCUAUGCAUUCAACCAAUGGGACUAAAGCCCUUAUAUACUCCAAUAGUUCGCCUAGUGGCUUUAGAUACUCCAAGCCUUGGUCUAGUCCUUGCGAGUCUUAUACCAUAGGCUAAGGAGAUGGACCUAUUGAUAUGUAUUUAACCUACCCGCUUCUCUUAUAGAGCUUACUUGGUCGCCAAUCUCCUGCUCUAUUGACCAGAGAUGACAUGACUCCUUACGCAUGAACUCUGUCGACUAGAGGAGUACCAAUAGAAGACGACCCUAUGCUCUCAUUUAUGGGCUUUCACGAUCAUAAAUAGGGAUUUCUAUCGCUGUAAGGAAUGGGUUCAUGACCCUUUUGAAUCGACCUUAUUCUCCUACUUAUUGGGUUUCUCGGUCUUAAAUAGGUCGAUGACUACGACUGUUUGCAUACUCCACAACAAGGUGUUGAUUACCUUCGUACUCCGCUUUAUAGCCAUAUAUUUAACCGCCUUCUUAGGGCUAAAGAGUUCGCAAGUGGACCAGGGAUUGACCGGAAACACUAGUACUAUAUGCCUCGACCGCGACUUGCUGUGGUCUUGGGCAUGGGAAUAGAACCAGAAUAGAAAGCCGAACAAAGACCUUUAUUUAUAGGAUUUCUUCCAUGGCUUGCACCUACAUAAGCCAUACUGCCAUAGUCACCCAUAUCUGCAUAUAUGUCACUUCUUGAUCGAAAAUUGAGUGAUGCCGUGCCGUCGGGUUAGUUUCUUUAAUGCUGUAUUUUUUCCAGCUGUUUCAGCUCGUAAAAAGACUGACUUUUUUUCAUUUAGAUAUAGUAAAAUUUCAUGCUGCCAUUCGAGGGCAAAAGGAUAGAAGCAUGCCGAUGCGCGAAAUAGAUUCCCAGUUCUUUUUUUGGGGGGUCUCUUCUCUUUCGCAUGCGCCUAUAGAACGAAGAGUGUGAAUAGUGUGAUUGUAUGAUGCGAAGACCUUUGGCCUACCUGAUCAAGUUGUUAAAAGCCGGACUUUAUUCUAUAUAUAUAUUCUAAAAGUGUAUCGAAUAGAAAAGUGCAUCUGCUCUUCGAUCUGCUGCUCUAUUCGAGCCGCUUCCUUCAGCUUCAAUAUCGGAGGAGGGUAAUUUAGCGCUUAGAAUCAAUAGUGAGAUUUCACUUACCACACAACAAUAGGGAUAUGUUGACAAAGAAAUUCAAUUUCUUGAAGUGCCUGGCCCAAUCCUUUUAGGUAUUUUCGUGCCACGAUCUUCUCAUUGAAUAAUCAACGCAACUUGAAUUGGUUGUUCAUUGCUGGAUGAUAGAUUGUUUGGUGGUGGUUACUAAACUAAGGGUCCGCGAUAGACUGCCCUUCCCCUUCGAUUCCCCUGCUCUGCUAUUUUGAUUUUCUCAUCUCAAGGCUCAUAUAACUUGCCCCUAGUGGUAUAGUAUAGUUCUUAGGGGCAUCAGGGACAGCGAGAAGCUUCUCACAGAGAGAGAUAACUAGCAUAUGAAAGAAAGGAUGCUUCGCUUGCCAUUGAAGGAAGUUCCUACUUCUAGCGCGAAAGCAGACAAAGCAAAGGAGGGAGGCGGGCUAAAUACAGCCCACCUAACAGCAGCUAGAAAGGCUAUAGGCGCGAAAGAAAAGUGAGUAGGAAAUUCGGCAUCAUAUGGAACCGUGGAGCCAGCCUCAAGGAAGAGCUUUGAUCCUUGCCUUGAACCGACUUUCUAAUUUGCGUUCUGGGUAGUAAUAUCAAGUGAUCUGAUGAUAUAGCCUUUGUGGCCUGGUUUAAGAGUUUCCUGAAUGGAAUAAGCAUUCAAACUACUUUUCCUGGACUCACGAAAUGGGGCAGUCAGACGGUAAACCGCAUCAAACUACUUGAGUUGGUAAGCAGCGAGGCUUUCUGAUACGCUAGACUCGAAUCUGUUCUCUUUCUGCGAUUUCCCUUUCUAUCCGAGUAUUAGUACGAGUCAGGAUUCAGAUCUAUUGCCAAGCAUAAAGUCGGGCUUGAGGUAGUCUCAAGAGUCCUAAGUUGCUUUCGGGGCAUAAUUCCUUAUAUAGGCAGGGCGAGAGCUCCCCUUUCAUGGCCGGGUGAGCAAGCUUUCUUUUCUGAAUGUAGUCGGGAGAAGUAAGAUCUGUUAUCAGUAGGCAUGGGAUGAAGUCGAGGUCUGAUCCCGCCAGCAUUCUUUCUUCUUAAGGUUCUAUCAUCCUUAUCACUACAAUCAUUGUUUAGCCAAUGAUGGAUGUUGCACCGCAGCCACUACUUGAUUCAUUAUUUCGUUCGGGCGAAAAGCAUUCCACGCAGCCGGUCACCUUCCCUCCUCGCAGAUUGACCAAGUCAGUAGGUUUUUUCCGAGAAAGACGCAGAAGCCAGUAGUGGACCGUCUGCUAUCAGGACAGCCAGCCCAGUCAGCAUCGGAGAAUGUAAAGAAGGUGGUUAACAGUCCGGGAGUGAUGGUUAGGCCAAGGCCAAGAGAACCCUUCAGAUACCGCAAGAUGUGUGCCUGGAGAUGUACGGUGGUGAGAGAGUGCAUGAACUGACAAACUUGAUUGACAGCAUAGCAGAUGUCAGGUCUGGUGAGAGUGAGGUACUGAAGGGCGCCAACAACAGACUCCUCCUUCUUUGACAGCUCUUUCAACAGCACGACGUAUCUUGGCCGAGAUUCCGCCUUUUACUGCUGAUGUAGUGAAGCUUCCGGCCACUGCUUCCACAGCAAGACAGGUCCUAAGGUAGUUUUAGUGUACCUCUUCUUCUAUUCUAGUAUGCCACUCUAUACCUUAGUAUCCCGAUCUAGUGAGUUGUCAGAAUCUUCCUUGUCUAAAUCAAAGUCUUGAUCUUCUCCUAUCUUUCGGCAAGAGUAGGUCCCUUAUUGUGAUCUUUUCUUCAGUCUUACGUCACCGAGGGAAAUUAGCCAAUCAGUAUGUAGUUAGCCUUUGUCGACUCUUCCUUUGUUUCCUCCACUAGGCUUGGUCGAGUGAGCUUUUGCUUCCUCCACUAGGCUUGGUCGAGUGAGCUUUUGCUUCCUCCACUAGGGUCUCAUAGUAUGGCCCUUCCAGUUUAGAGUAUAGAGAGAAAUGCCAUAUAUAAGAUAGAAUAUGAAAUCUUAGUAGUAAGUACCCUUUAUUGAGUCCCUUUCUUCCUUCUAAGGAGUAACGAAUUGGAUUUGAACCAAUGCUUCGGGUCUAGUGACUUUCCCCGUGAACUUCCAUUAUUCGAUCGUUACAGAAAAGCCUGUUGAAAUCGAUUGCUUUGCUCUACUCUAUAUCGAGGAGCCUUGCAGAGACAGAGAAUAGAAAAGAAAAAAAGAGCGAUUGAGAAUCUCGAGAACCUUUCUGAACGUCUGGGGCAAUUUGAAAAGGAGUAUAUCUUUCUUGUAGUGCCUUCCAUUCCACUAUUCUGAUCAAGAAAGAAUCUCUUCCGAACGACCAAGUAAUAAUGAGAUUAAAAACCGAUGCUUCUUUGGCCGUGUGGAACAUGGAUUAGCAUUAUGUCAUUCCUACAAGUGAUCCCCCAUCCAGGAUUGGAAGAAGUGCUAUAUGAGGACUUCAAGAUCAAAUAGAAGAUGUUUCUUUCCAUUCCUCGUGAGCCACUUAUUUCUCCGAAACAAGAGAUCAAAGUUAUCUUCCUCCUUUUUCCCAAUAAGUCGCGGCCUUACACCAUUGGGAUACUUCGAAUAAACUGGAGUACAUAUAGGAUACACCGGUGCUAAAACCUUUUCUCAAGAUAUCUUCCAAACUGUUGGGGUCGCUGCUCCGGAUGUUUUUCUCCCGGUGUGAAACCAGUUGGUUCCGUAGUUUUAGAAUUUUGUUGAUCCCAAGUAGUCCAUCUCCAUCAUUGCAUAUGGGAAUAUAGAAAGUAAAGAGGAAAAGGCAUGACCAGAAGAAUUGUGUGAAAUAAGUGAAUUUAUCUAGUUGAGGCAUCUUGAUUGAAAAACAAAGGAUUCCCUCCAGACAGAAAGAGAGUCCUUCCUG